Molecule: long non-coding RNA, 81650 nt
Filed under: Triticum aestivum (bread wheat)
Lineage: Eukaryota; Viridiplantae; Streptophyta; Magnoliopsida; Poales; Poaceae
Description: long non-coding RNA (TAES_LNC017502)
Source: RNAcentral
UUCGAAAGAGAUUGUCCGUUUUGUACACGAAGUGCAUCCAGUUUUUGUCGUAAGCCUCUCUACUUUCUGGCACAUGCUAUGUGGGUGAAAUGAUGAUACCAUGCCAACUUUCAACCUUUUCAGAGUUCAUUUGUAGUGCUUUUCAAUUUCAGGGUCUUAUAGCUGAAAACAUCAGUAAAUGCACGAAAAAUAACAAAUGAAGUCAGAAAGGGUUGAAAUUGAUGAUGUGGCUUUGAAUGGUGCAUUUUGAACACAGAAAAAGUAUGGAGUUCAAAUAAGUUAAAAAAAUGAAAUCCCUUUGUAACAGACGAGUUUCCGUAUGAAACCCUGGUACUUUGAAAGAGAUUGUCCGUUUUGUACACGAAGUGCAUCUAGUUUUUGCCGUAAGCCUCUCUACUUUCUUGCGNNNNNNNNNNNNNNNNNNNNNNNNNNNNNNNNNNNNNNNNNNNNNNNNNNNNNNNNNNNNNNNNNNNNNNNNNNNNNNNNNUUUUUCAAUUUUAGGGUCUUAUAGCUGAAAAAAAUCAGUAAAUGCAUGAAAAAUAACAAAUGAAGUCGGAAAGGGUUGAAAAUUGAUGAUGUGGCUUUGAAUGGCGCAUUUUGAAGACAGAAAAAGUAUGGAGUUCAAAUAAGUUCAAAAAAAUGAAAUCCCUUUUGUAACAGACGAGUUUCCUUAUGGAACCCUGAUACUUCGAAAGAGAUUGUCCGUUUUGUACACGAAGUGCAUCCAAUUUUUGCCGAAAGCCUCUCUACUUUCUUGGACAUGCUAUGUGGGUGAAAUGAUGAUACCAUGCCAACUUUCAACCUUUUCAGAGUUCAUUUGUAGUGCUUUUCAAUUUCAGGGUCUUAUAGCUGGAAAAAAUCAGUAAAUGCAUGAAAAAUAACAAAUGAAGUCAGAAAGGGUUGAAAAUUGAUGAUGUGGCUUCGAAUGGUGCAUUUUGAACACAGAAAAAGUAUGGAGUUCAAAUAAGUUCAAAAAAUGAAAUCCCUUUGUAACACACGAGUUUCCGUAUGAAACCCUAAUACUUCGAAAGAGAUUGUCUGUUUUGUACAUGAAGUGCAUCCAGUUUUUGCUGUAAGCCUCUUUACUUUUUGCACAGGCUAUGUGGGUGAAAUGAUCAUACCAUGCCAACUUUCAACCUUUCCAGAGUUCAUUUGUAGUGCUUUUAAAUUUCAGGGUCUUAUAGCUGAAAAAACUCAGUAAAUGCACGAAAAAUAACAAAUGAAGUCAGAAAGGGUUGAAAAUUGAUGAUGUGGCUUUGAAUGGUGCAUUUUGAACACAUAAAAACUAUGGAGUUCAAAUAAGUUCAAAAGAAUGAAAUCCGAAACUAUGGUGAAUUAUCAAAGUAUUUUCUAUUCAAAAUCAUUAAAAGCAACAUGAAUUUUCAUAAACAACUUUUUUGNNNNNNNNNNNNNNNNNNNNNNNNNNNNNNNNNNNNNNNNNNNNNNNNNNNNNNNNNNNNNNNNNNNNNNNNNNNNNNNNNNNNNNNNNNNNNNNNNNNNNNNNNNNNNNNNNNNNNNNNNNNNNNNNNNNNNNNNNNNNNNNNNNNNNNNNNNNNNNNNNNNNNNNNNNNNNNNNNNNNNNNNNNNNNNNNNNNNNNNNNNNNNNNNNNNNNNNNNNNNNNNNNNNNNNNNNNNNNNNNNNNNNNNNNNNNNNNNNNNNNNNNNNNNNNNNNNNNNNNNNNNNNNNNNNNNNNNNNNNNNNNNNNNNNNNNNNNNNNNNNNNNNNNNNNNNNNNNNNNNNNNNNNNNNNNNNNNNNNNNNNNNNNNNNNNNNNNNNNNNNNNNNNNNNNNNNNNNNNNNNNNNNNNNNNNNNNNNNNNNNNNNNNNNNNNNNNNNNNNNNNNNNNNNNNNNNNNNNNNNNNNNNNNNNNNNNNNNNNNNNNNNNNNNNNNNNNNNNNNNNNNNNNNNNNNNNNNNNNNNNNNNNNNNNNNNNNNNNNNNNNNNNNNNNNNNNNNNNNNNNNNNNNNNNNNNNNNNNNNNNNNNNNNNNNNNNNNNNNNNNNNNNNNNNNNNNNNNNNNNNNNNNNNNNNNNNNNNNNNNNNNNNNNNNNNNNNNNNNNNNNNNNNNNNNNNNNNNNNNNNNNNNNNNNNNNNNNNNNNNNNNNNNNNNNNNNNNNNNNNNNNNNNNNNNNNNNNNNNNNNNNNNNNNNNNNNNNNNNNNNNNNNNNNNNNNNNNNNNNNNNNNNNNNNNNNNNNNNNNNNNNAGAAUUUUCAUAAAGAACUUUUUUUAGAAACUUUAAUAGCAAAAAGAAUUAUCAUAAAAUAAAAUAAAUAAGUAAUUAGAAACAAAAUAAAAUAAAAUAAAUAAUUAUUUUGUUGUAAGUAGAAACAAAACAAAAAAAGCAAAAAAGAAAACAAAAAACUGGAAAAAAAUAAAAAAAAUUGCCACCUACUGGGCCACCACGGCCUGAAUACGACUAGAAACCCAUCAAUGGGCCAGGUUACAGGCCCGCAGAAGGCCCAGCAGGCCCAUAUGGCAUAGCAGUGACAAUUAGGCCCGUAAGCCUGCAAUAGAGAGGAGCUCGAGAGGGGUGCGGCAGUGGGGCUUAUAAACCACUGCGUGCCCCUCUCAACUAGCGAGGUGGGACUAAACUCCCACCACCACGGCGCUGUGCGCGGCCUUUGGUCCUGGUUGGUGGCACAAACCGGGACUAAAGGUGGGCAUUGGUACCGGUUCGUGCCGCCAAUCGGUACCAAUGCCCCCCCUUUAGUACCGGUUCAUGCCACCAACCGGUACCAAUGCCCCCCCUUUAGUACCGGUUGGUGCCACCAACCGGGACCAAAGGCCGCCGCUUCCCGCCCUUUGGGCUGCUGAAAAGAGACCUUUGGUCCCGGUUGGUGGUACCAACCNNNNNNNNNNNNNNNNNNNNNNNNNNNNNNNNNNNNNNNNNNNNNNNNNNNNNNNNNNNNNNNNNNNNNNNNNNNNNNNNNNNNNNNNNNNNNNNNNNNNNNNNNNNNNNNNNNNNNNNNNNNNNNNNNNNNNNNNNNNNNNNNNNNNNNNNNNNNNNNNNNNNNNNNNNNNNNNNNNNNNNNNNNNNNNNNNNNNNNNNNNNNNNNNNNNNNNNNNNNNNNNNNNNNNNNNNNNNNNNNNNNNNNNNNNNNNNNNNNNNNNNNNNNNNNNNNNNNNNNNNNNNNNNNNNNNNNNNNNNNNNNNNNNNNNNNNNNNNNNNNNNNNNNNNNNNNNNNNNNNNNNNNNNNNNNNNNNNNNNNNNNNNNNNACGCCGCCGCUGCCAACGCCGUCGCCUCCUCGAGCCCGCGCCAUCCUCGUCGCCGGCAUCCCCGAGCCCGCCGUCCUCGUCGUCCCCGUCGUCGUGUGCCUCCCCGAGCCCACCCCUCAUCGUCCCUGUUGCCGCGUGCCGUCCUGAGACCGCCGUCCCCGUCACCCCGUGCCACCCCGAGCCCGCCGUCCUCGUCGCCGGACUCCUGCCAUCGCCGUCCCCCUCGAAGUGAGCCUCCCCCCUUUCCCAUGGUCCCGAUCGAGCGCCGCUCUUGCGCCCGAGCGCCCCUUGCUCUCUGCCCCUGCUCCAUGGUCGCCGCCGGCCCCGACGCAUUGAAGAGCAGGAGAGGAGAAGGAGUGGAGCAGCAGCAACACACCAUCCAAUUUUCUAAAAUUUCAGAAUUUUUUUACAUAUAUGAAGAGUGCAUAUAGAGGGUGUUUGAUCAAAUGCUAGAUGGCUUUGGGCAUUUUUAGAAUUUAUGAUAUUUUUUGUGGUGAGGUACUGAUGCAAGACAAAGGUGAUGGCAAAAUUUCAGAAUUUUUGGAUUGGUUUGGAAUAGGUUUCAGCAAGGAAUUUGAAUCUGGUUCAAAUUUAUUUGAAUGAAAUUUGAAAAUUUUGAACUAUGGAUCAGAAGGUUUUUGGUGAAAUGGAGUGUGGGUACUGUCAUGAAGUUGGAGUAAUUUUUGUGGUUGUAAAAGAGUUAGGAAAAUUUAGAAUGUGCUAAAUAUGUCAAAAAUGUUUUUUUUUUCAUUGAAAGUUUUUUGUUCAUAGAAAGUUUUUUGUUCAUAUACAGAAAGUUUGUAUAUAUGACUAUGGAUAUAUGAGCAAUGAUGAUCCAUGGAUGUAUGCAUUGAUAUAUAUGAGAAACGAUGUUCAUAGAAUAUUUACCAAGUAUAUAUGUAUUUUUGUUCAUAGCAUUUUUUUCCAUUUAUAUAUGUAUGUGGCUAUAGAUGGAUAUAUAUGAGAAAUGAUGAUCCAUGGAAAAGUUUUAUAUAUGCAAGAGUUACAUUUUUAGAAAAGUUUUAUAUAUCUAGCUAGGAAAGGAAGAAGAAGAAAAAGAAGGAGAGGAAAAACGAAAAUAAGAAGAGGAAGAAAGGAGAAGAGGAGGAGAGGAAGAAGAGGAGAAAUAAAUAAGAAGAGGAAAAAAGAAGAAUAAGAAGAGGAGAAGAAGAAAGGAAUAUAGGAGAAGAAGAAAAAAUAGAAUAUUUUCUAUUUUUUCUUCUUCUCCUCUAUUCCUUUCUUCUUCUCCUCUUUUUUUUCUUCUUUUUUUCUUCGAUCUUCUCCUCUAUUCCUUUCUUCUUCUCCUCUUUUUAUUUCUUCUUUGUCUUCUUAUUUUUUAUCGGAUAUGUCCUUGUUGAUAUACCCCCUCCCCGAUAACAUUAUUUUCCCAUCUAUGUAUGUCGUCGUUGUCGAUAUAUAUAACUCCCUCCCAGAUAACUUCGACGUGAUGGACGGUCGAUAUUUAUACCCCCUCUCGAGCGUGAUAACUUAUACCACGGGAGCACCCCCCCCGGCCCUCUCGCUCGACCAAAACUCUCGAGGACACCCAAAUCCUAGAAAAAAACGAUGUUGGUCUCCUACCCCCUCCCGCCGCGCCCCUACCCGAUCGACAUACUCUCUUGAGGCCACCCAAAUUUACCAAGUUAAAAGAGCGUUGUCGUCGAGGCCACCCCGAACCCCUUGAAGCGUUGUUGAGGCCACCCCAAACCCUUGAAGUGUUGCCGAGGCCACCCCAAACCCUAGAGAAGCGUCGAGGCCAUGCCACUAAUAUGAUUCCUUAUUGUGCUUAGCUAGCUAGCUAGUUCAACAUUUGCCACUAAUAUAUCCAUCUGUCAUGUUUGAAUAAUAAUUGCCAUGUUGUAAAUAUUUGCAGAAACUAUGGAUCCGCACCCCCGAGACGAAGCAAAAGAAGCGGUGUUGGGGGAGAUAAUCGCACACGAAAGUGAUGUCGUCUUGUCUUUUCUCAACGACACAUGCACCGAUCGUCUGGAAAGACAGGAUGAAGAAGCGGGCUAUGACGAUGAUCAAACAAUGGAGGACGAAGGACACCGUGAUGACAGCUCCGGUGACCGAAUGGAGGGGGAAGGACAGGAUGAAGAAGCAGGCUCCGGUGACCGAACGGAGUCCGGCCAGGUAUAUAUAUUAAUUAAUUAAGCAUGUGCUGACUAUAGCUAAUUGAUGCAUUAAUUGUUUUUGGUAUGUACACAUAUUAACUCUCUUCUUUUUCUUCUUUUCUAGCCCUCCGGAUCGAGCAACACUUCGGUAACGAGAUGAGGCCCGAAGAGAAAGUUGCGCGCGGAAGAAAGGUACACGAUCAUCGAAAUUGAUCGCGCUGGCCAACCGAUUGAACCCCUCCGGACCAAGCAAAAAUUUAAUGCUCAGUGCGGGGUUCUAGUGAGGGACAUGAUCCCGAUCAGCAUCGAGCAAUGGUUGAAGCCUAAGGACAAAGACUCUCAGGUGUCUUAUGUCAGCGAUAGGCAGAAAGCUGAUCUUUGGACCGUGCUGCAGGAAAAUUUCACCUUCCCACCAGAGGAGGAUCCGGAGAAUCUAGUUAAAAAGCCAAUGAUCAAGGCUUAUGCUCUUAAGAAGAUGGCUGAGCUAUUCAGGAGGUGGAAGAAUGAGCUGAAAUCAUCGUUUGUCGACCAAGACAAGACUCCAGAAUUCAUCGGCCAAUUUGAGAAGAUCAAAGAUCAGUGGCCCGAAUUUGUCACCAAAAAAAAAUCUGAGAGAGCAGCAAAGAUGUCAGCGACAAACAAGAAAAAUUCUGCAAAGAAGAAGCAUCACCAUCACACGGGGUCAGGUGGCUACCUGAAAGCCCGGCCGUUGUGGGACAAGGCUGAGAAUGACCUCAUUGAUAAAGCGAUCGAACCAGAGACGCGACACUGGCCAGACCGUUGCAGGACUUGGUUCUUCGGGGUUGGGGGAAAAUUGGACCCUGUAACAGGGAAGUGCGUUUGGACCGACGAGCAGCUGAACACACCCAUCGAGAAGCUUCAGGAGUAUAUCGAAAAGGCGCAGCAAGGGACGUUCGUUCCGGACAGAGAGAACGACGAGCUCACAGAGGCCCUCGGGAAUCCUGAGCACCCCGGACGGACACGAGGCACGCUAGGCUACCUUUCGUGGAAGGCUGAAUUUCCCGACGCAGGCGGUUACAAACGCCAGGAGAGGAAGAAGAAAAACGAGUUGGCCCAACUACAGGCGCUGCACGCAAGGGUACAAGCGGUAGAGGAACGAGAGGCAGUUCGCAGCACGCGACCUGCUGAAGCUACACCCGAAGCUACCCCGCCAUCUCAGCGGAGAAGCAGCGUGGCUUCCACGGAGCUGCUUCAGGAGCUUGUCUUCACGGCUCCUGCUAGCUACCCUGUAGAUGCUAUCACGGAGUCUCAGCAUUGCCACCUUAUGACGCAGUGGAUGGAAUUGAAAGUCAAGGCAGCUGUUGGCACUGUUGCACCUCCUGAACCUGGCGCAACUUUUCACUGCCGGCCAAUUCCAGAAGGAUAUGCUAGGGUGAUGGUGGAUGAAAUCAUAGAAGGAUUUGAGGACCUCCAGCUUGACCACCCUACGGGUGAAGGGGAGACACGGCUGGGUUCUUGUCUGAAGACUCCAUGCCUAUGGCGGAAGGAGCUCAUCAACCUUCCUAACUGGAUGCCUCCGCCUCCUCCUCCUCCUUCGGCGAGUUAGGGCACUCCGCCUCCUCCACCGCCUCCUCCUCCGGCGAGUGAUGAUCAGGGCACUCAGCCUCCUUCUCCGGCGUGUGGCAGCACUCCGCCUCCUUCUCCGCCUGUGCCCGUGCGCCCGAGCAGCCACCAGCCUCCUCCUUCUCCGCCUCGCCAGCAAGGGCGGAAGAGACCCGCCGCCGCCCCGGCUGCUCCGGCACGUCGUAGUCCUUCUCCUCUGCCUCGUAAGCAAGCACGAAAGAAGACAGCCGCAGCCGUUCCGUCUGCUCCGGCGUCUAGCAGUACAGCCAGAGGCGGGAGGCAAUACAGAUACGGUCCACCUCUCAAGCCUCUAGAGAAGUUACCGUACGAGAGGACCGAGGAGGAAAACGCGAAGAUCGUGCGGACCAAAGUGAAGGACUUCUUUGAAGGGUUGAAAGCAAAGAGACAUCCACCUCCGGAGGAGAAGGUGUUGGAAAUAUGCCCUAGAGGCAAUAAUAAAAUGGUUAUUAUUAUAUUUCCUUGUUCAUGAUAAUUGUCUAUUGUUCAUGUUAUAAUUGUGUUAUCCGGAAAUCGUAAUACAUGUGUGAAUACAUAGACCACAACAUGUCCCUAGUGAGCCUCUAGUUGACUAGCUCGUUGAUCAACAGAUAGUCAUGGUUUCCUGACUAUGGACAUUGGAUGUCAUUGAUAAUGGGAUCACAUCAUUAGGAGAAUGAUGUGAUGGACAAGACCCAAUCCUAAGCAUAGCGCAAAGAUCGUGUAGUUCGUUUGCUAGAGCUUUUUCCAAUGUCAAGUAUCUUUUCCUUAGACCAUGAGAUCGUGUAACUCCCGAAUGCCGUAGGAGUGCUUUGGGUGUACCAAACGUCACAACGUAACUGGGUGGCUAUAAAGGUACACUACAGGUAUCUCUGAAAGUGUCUGUUGGGUUGACACGGAUCGAGACUGGGAUUUGUCACUCCGUAUGACGGAGAGGUAUCUCUGGGCCCACUCGGUAAUGCACCAUCAUAAUGAGCUCAAUGUGACUAAGGAGUUAGCCACGGGAUCAUGCAUUACGGUACGAGUAAAGAGACUUGCCGGUAACGAGAUUGAACAAAGUAUUGGGAUACCGACGAUCGAAUCUCGGGCAAAAUAAAUGGAUCUUUAAGAAGAAGACAGACGCGGAUGGUAAUGUGACCAUCUAUAAGGCUCGACUUGUCGCUAAGGGUUAUCGACAAGUUCAAGGGGUUGACUACGAUGAGACUUUCUCACCCGUAGCGAAGCUGAAGUCCGUCUGAAUCAUGUUAGCAAUUGCCGCAUUCUAUGAUUAUGAGAUAUGGCAAAUGGACGUCAAAACGGCAUUCCUUAACGGCUUUCUUAAGGAAGAAUUGUAUAUGAUGCAGCCGGAAGGUUUUGUCGAGCCUAAGAAGCUAACAAGGUAUGCAAGCUCCAUCUAUGGGCUGGUGCAACCAUCUCGGAGUUGGAACAUUCGAUUUGAUGAGAUGAUCAAAGCGUUUGGGUUUACACAGACUUAUGGAGAAGCCUGUGUUUACAAGAAAGUGAGUGGCAGCUCUGUAGCAUUUCUCAUGUUAUAUGUGGAUGACAUACUGUUGAUGGGAAAUGAUAUAGAAUUCUUGGAAAGUAUAAAGGCCUAUUUGAAUAAGUGUUUUUCAAUGAAGGACCUUGGAGAAGAUGCUUAUAUAUUAGGCAUCAAGAUCUAUAGAGAUAGAUCGAGACGCCUUAUUGGUCUUUCACAGAGUACGUACCUUGACAAGAUAUUGAAGAAGUUCAAUAUGGAUCAGUCCAAGAAGGGGUUCUUGCCUGUAUUGCAAGGUGUGCAAUUGAGCAUGGCUCAAUGCCCGACCACGGCAGAAGGUAGAGAAAAGAUGAGUGUCGUCCCCUAUGCCUCGGCCAUAGGGUCUAUUAUGUAUGCCAUGCUGUGUACCAGACCUGAUGUAAACCUUGCCAUAAGUUUGGUAGGAAGGUACCAAAGUAAUCCCGGCAUGGAACACUGGACAGCGGUCAAGAAUAUCCUGAAGUACCUGAAAAGGACUAAGGAUAUGUUUCUCGUUUAUGGAGGUGACGAAGAGCUCGUCGUAAAGGGUUACGUCGACGCUAGCUUCGACACAGAUCUGGAUGACUCUAAGUCACAAACCGGAUACGUGUAUAUUUUGAAUGGGGGGGCAGUAAGCUGGUGCAGUUGCAAGCAAAGCGUCGUGGCGGGAUCUACAUGUGAAGCGGAGUACAUGGCGGCCUCAGAGGCAGCACAAGAAGCAAUCUGGAUAAAGGAGUUCAUUACCGACCUAGGGGUGAUUCCCAAUGCGUCGGGCCCGAUGACUCUCUUCUGUGACAACACUGGAGCUAUUGCCCAUGCUAAGGAGCCCAGGUUUCACAGGAAGACCAGGCAUAUCAAACGUCGCUUCAACUCCAUUCGUGAAAAUGUUCAAAAUGGAGACAUAGAUAUUUGUAAAGUACAUACGGACCUGAAUGUAGCAGAUCCGUUGACUAAACCUCUCCCUAGAGCAAAACAUGAUCAACACCAGAACUCUAUGGGUGUUCGAUACAUCACAAUGUAACUAGAUUAUUGACUCUAGUGCAAGUGGGAGACUGUUGGAAAUAUGCCCUAGAGGCAAUAAUAAAAUGGUUAUUAUUAUAUUUCCUUGUUUAUGAUAAUUGUCUAUUGUUCAUGCUAUAGUUGUGUUAUCCGGAAAUCAUAAUACAUGUGUGAAUACAUAGACCACAACAUGUCCCUAGUGAGCCUCUAGUUGACUAGCUCGUUGAUCAACAGAUAGUCAUGGUUUCCUGAAUAUGGACAUUGGAUGUCAUUGAUAACGGGAUCACAUCAUUACGAGAAUGAUGUGAUGGACAAGACCCAAUCCUAAGCAUAGCGCAAAGAUCGUGUAGUUCGUUUGCUAGAGCUUUUUCCAAUGACAAGUAUCUUGUCCUUAGACCAUGAGAUCGUGUAACUCCCGGAUGCCGUAGGAGUGCUUUGGGUGUACCAAACGUCACAACGUAACUGGGUGGCUAUAAAGGUACACUACAGGUAUCUCUGAAAGUGUCUGUUGGGUUGACACGGAUCGAGACUGGGAUUUGUCACUCCGUGUGACGGAGAGGUAUCUCUGGGCCCACUCGGUAAUGCAUCAUCAUAAUGAGCUCAAUGUGACUAAGGAGUUAGCCACGGGAUCAUGCAUUACGGUACGAGUAAAGAGACUUGCCGGUAACGAGAUUGAACAAGGUAUUGGGAUACCGACGAUCGAAUCUCGGGCAAGUAACAUACCGAUUGACAAAGGGAAUUGUAUACGGGAUUGAUUGAAUCCUCGACAUCGUGGUUCAUCCGACGAGAUCAUCGUGGAACAUGUGGGAGCCAACAUGGGUAUCCAGAUCCCGCUGUUGGUUAUUGACCGGAGAGUCUUCUCGGUCAUGGCUGCAUGUCUCCCGAACCCGUAGGGUCUACACACUUAAGGUUCGGUGACGCUAGGGUUAUAGAGAUAUUAGUAUGCGGAAACCCGAAAGUUGUUCGGAGUACCGGAUGAGAUCCCGGACGUCACGAGGAGUUCCGGAAUGGUCCGGAGGUGAAGAAUUAUAUAUAGGAAGUCCAGUUUCGGCCACCAGGAAAGUUUCGGGGGUUAUCAGUAUUGUACUGGGACCACCGGAAGGGUCCCGGGGGUCCACCGGGUGGGGCCACCUAUCCCGGAGGGCCCCAUGGGCUGAAGUGGGAGGGAAACCAGCCCCUGGUGGGCUGGUGUGCCCCCCAUGGGCGUCCCCCCGCGCCUAGGGUUGGAAACCCUGGGGGUGGGGGCGCCCCACCUGNNNNNNNNNNNNNNNNNNNNNNNNNNNNNNNNNNNNNNNNNNNNNNNNNNNNNNNNNNNNNNNNNNNNNNNNNNNNNNNNNNNNNNNNNNNNNNNNNNNNNNNNNNNNNNNNNNNNNNNNNNNNNNNNNNNNNNNNNNNNNNNNNNNNNNNNNNNNNNNNNNNNNNNNNNNNNNNNNNNNNNNNNNNNNNNNNNNNNNNNNNNNNNNNNNNNNNNNNNNNNNNNNNNNNNNNNNNNNNNNNUAUAUAUAGUGGGGGGAGGGAGGGCAGCAGCACGCUAGCCCCUGGCGCCUCCCUCUCCCUCCCGUGACACCUCUCCCUCCCGCUUGCGCUUGGCGAAGCCCUGCCGGGAUCCCGCUACUUCCACCACCACGCCGUCGUGCUGCUGUAUCUCCAUCAACCUCUCCUUCCCCCUUGCUGGAUCAAGAAGGAGGAGACGUCUUCCCAACCGUACGUGUGUUGAACGCGGAGGUGCCGUCCGUUCGGCACUCGGUCAUCGGUGAUUUGGAUCACGACGAGUAUGACUCCAUCAACCCCGUUCUCUUGAACGCUUCCGCUCGCGAUCUACAAGGGUAUGUAGAUGCACUCCUUCCCUCUCGUUGCUAGUAAACUCCAUAGAUGGAUCUUGGUGAUGCGUAGAAAAAUUUAAAAUUCUGCUACGAUCCCCAACAGAAGGUAGAUCCGGUGAAAGCAAAGCACACUAUUGAUGCCCUGAGGAAACCACCAAAGUCUCCGACGAAAACCAACUAUGAGCGCGUUAUUGAAAAGGCAUAUCUCGAAGCGGAGUGGUCCGGAAGUACUGUCAGUGAUCAAAGGUUGAAACAACGACGAGCACUUGGGAAAAAAAUUGCCCAGCUCGGCGAACAAGCAAACCAAUUGUGCCCCCCGCUCAAUGUGUCUAGCGACAUCGUCGCUAAUGCUCCGGGGAUGGUGCCCGGUUAUAGCAAUCUUGGAGAUUACCUGCCCGACGAUGUACAUUAUGAUUUCUUGGAGGUGGACGAACACAGAUACGAGUACGGUUAGCCUCUCGUCAAAGAUGAAAAAUCUCUAACAACGAUGAUGCGAAGAUUCCAUAAUUGGUACAUGAAAACCUGCAGAGAGUCUGGGGGGACGAUUACUUUGUAUCUGAGAGUUAAAGAGGAGCACGACCUCGUUCGAACUGAUCUGUUGCAUGUUCCAUUUGAGGAGUUCUUCCAGUUCUUCAAUCAAAAGGCCCUCGAUAAAUUAACGGUCACUUGCUACUGUCUGUAAGUACUACUUCUGUCAUUAAGUCUCUAUAUAUGGCUCAGCUCUUUCAUUGCAUGUAUUUAUAAUUAUCCUCACUAUAUUAUGCAGAUUGAAGAUCAUCGAGUGCAGAAAAGCAGAAAUGUAUGAUAUUGGGUUCAUUAACACAUAUCUCAUAGAUGAAUUUCAGGUUAAAAAGAACGCCGAAGAGGCCGAGGCCAACUUGCUCAAAUCAUUGUUAAUAAAUCAAAACAAAGAUUUAAUACUCUUUCCUUACAACUUCAAGUGAGUGUUACUAUCGUGUGCAUAUUCGGUUUCCCUUAUUACUCGAGCGAGGUUAUAGUAAUGUAAUUGAUGAGUUAUGCAUGUGUGCGCAGCUUCCACUAUAUUCUCCUGGAGAUUAAGCUUCAGCGGGGACUAGUAACCGUCUUAGACUUGAGACGAAAAGAUCACGAGACCUAGGCGGACAUGACUAAAACUCUCAACAAGUAAGUUGAACCGAUCAUUAUCGCACCAUAUCAGCAACUUUUUGUUCAUUUCCCGAUGUCUCAAGUAAUAAUUAUUCUCUUUGUCUUGCAGGGUUUGGAAACAGUUCACCGCAGAAGCUCCGGGACUGCCGAAGGAGCUACAAUAUAGAUACCCGAAAGUAAGUACUACUAGCUAGCUAGUUGCGCGCAUCUCCCGUUGAUUCUAGCUACUUUCAUCAAUGCCAUUUAUAAUGCUUCAUUAUCAGUUUGAUUGACCUCUAUUUCUCGUAAAGUGCUUGUGGCAGGAACAAGGGAAUGAUUACUGUGGAUACUACGUGUGCGAGUUCAUCUACAACGCGACUUUGAAAAAUAAGCGGGGCUACUCUAAAAUACAAUAUGAAGUGCGUAAGCAAUAAUAUUCACAAUUUCAUUUUAUUACACCAUCAUUUCUGUUGAGUUUCAUUCAUAUAUAUGUAUUAACCCCCUUCUUCAAAUUAGACGUGGCAGAUGCGGAAUGAACUCCUACCACAAGAUCGAAUGAAAGCAAUUCAAGAGGAAUUGGUGGGAUUCUUUCUUGACCACGUCAUCAAUAAAGCCGGAGAAUACCAUGUGGAAGUUGAGUUCAAAUGCUAGGGGAUUGUAAGAGAUCUUACAUAUUGUAUAUGUAUGUAGCCAGUAGCGUCGAUUAGAUAAUACGAAAACUUGUUGUUCGACCAAUCUCUCGGAGAAGGAGAGGUGGAUCACUUCUCUCGGUAUGCAUGACGAACUUCUAUACUUAAUGGUUUCCUUCAUUUUCUUACUAGCUAGCGUGUCGAGGGACUCUCUAUGUAUAGUAUGUAGCGUCGACCAAGCACGGAGAUAAGAGAGGACACUUCUCUCUAUUAAUUAAUUAUCUACCUAACAAAGUAUAUGAAACACCUUAAUUAACCAUACAAAACCCCCAAAUCCACCCCCCCUUUCCGAAAAAAAAACAAAAACCCUAGCCCCCGAACAGCUGACGCGUGGAUGCCUAUUGGUCCCGGUUGGUGCCACCAACCGGGACUAAAGGGCCUCCUGCCUGGGCUCGCAGCACCGGCCACGUGGAGGCCCAUCUGUCCCAGUUAGUAUAAGAACCGGGACUAAAGGCCUAGGCAUUAGUAAUGACCAUUUAGUCCCGGUCCCCCAACCGGGACAGAUGGGCCUUAUGAACUGGGACAAAUGGCCCUUUUUCUACUAGUGUCAUUUCGAAUACCGUGGAACCGGAGAAAUUUCGAAUAACACUAUGUUACCUCAACGGGGAUAUGCACAUCCCCAAUAAUAAGAAUAUCAUAUAUUUUUUUUGACAGUAGAAAGAGGAAAUUCAAUACCUCCAAAAAUAAUUGAUGGAAUAUUUCCAAUAGAAUUGAUACUGUGGACUUGAGGUUGUUUCCUCGGAAAGUGUACCGUAUGCUCAUUACCAUUAACAUGAAAAGUAACAUUGCCUUUGUUGCAAUCAAUAACAGUCCCUGCAGUAUUCCAAAAGGGUCUUCCAAGAAUAAUAGACAUACUAUCGUCCUCGGGAAUAUCCAGAAUAACAAAGUCCGUUAAAAUAGUAACGUUUGCAACCACAACAGGCACAUCCUCACAAAUACCGACAGGUAUAGCAGUUGAUUUAUCAGCCAUUUGCAAAGAUAUUUCAGUAGGUGUCAAUUUAUUCAAGUCAAGUCUACGAUAUAAAGAGAGAGGCAUAGCACUAACACCGACUCCAAGAUCACAUAAAGCAGUUUUAACAUAGUUUCUUUUAAUGGAGCAUGGUAUAGUAGGUACUCCUGGAUCUCCAAGUUUCUUUGGUAUUCCACCCUUAAAAGUAUAAUUAGCAAGCAUGGCGGAAAUUUCAGCUUCCGGUAUCUUUCUUUUAUUAGUAACAAUUUCUUUCAUAUACGUAGCAUAAGGAUUCAUUUUGAGCAUAUCAGUUAAUCGCAUACGCAAAAAGAUAGGUCUAAUCAUUUUAGCAAAGCGCUCAAAAUCCGCAUCAUCCUUUUUCUUGGAUGGUUUCGGAGGAAAAGGCAUGGAUUUCUGAACCCAAGGUUCCCUUUCUUUACCAUGUUUCCUAGCAACAAAGUCUCUCUUAUCAUAAUGUUUAUUCUUUGAUUGUGGGUUAUCAAGAUCAACAGCAGGUUCAAUUUCUAGAUCGUUGUCCUUGCUAGGUUGAGCAUCAUCAUGAACAUCAUCAUUAACAUUUUCAUUAGGUUCAUGUUCAUUACGAGAUUGUGUUUCAGCAUCAGAAAUAGAUAUAUCAUUUGGAUUCUCAGGUGGUUCAGCAAUAGGUUCACUAGAAGCAUGCAAAGUCAUAUCAUUUUUCUUUUUCUUCUUUGUAGCAGGACUAGGUGCAUCAACAUUAUUUCUCUGAGAAUCUUGUUCAAUUCUCUUAGGGUGGCCUUCAGGAUACAAAGGUUCCUGAGUCAUUUUACCAGUUCUAGUAGCCACUCUAACAGCAUAAUCAUUUUUCUUACUAUUCAAUUCAUUGAGCAAAUCAUUUUGAGCUUUAAGUACUUGUUCUACUUGAGUGGUAACCAUAGAAGCAUGUUUGCUAAUGAGUUUAAGUUCACCCUUAACAUUAGCCAUGUAAUCACCCAAGUGUUCAAUCAUAUAGGCAUUUUGUUUUAAUUGUCUACCAAAAUAAGCAUUAAAAUCUUCUUGCUUGACCAUAAAGUUAUCAAACUCAUCCAAACAUUGGCUAGCAAACUUAGUAGGAGGGAUUUCAGCUUCAUCAUAUCUAUAGAGAGAAUUUACCUUUACUACCUGUGUCGGGUUAUCAAGACCAUGAGUUUCUUCAAUAGGUAAUGGAUUAAGAUCAUAUGUUUCUUCAACAGGCGGUAAAUUAAGACCAUGUAUUUCUUCAAUAGGAGGUAAAUUCUUAACAUCUUCAGCCUUUAUACCCUUUUCUUUCAUGGAUUUCUUUGCCUCUUGCAUAUCUUCAGGACUGAGAACUAGAACACCUCUUUUCUUCGGAGUUGGUUUAGGAAUAGGCUCAGGAAUUGGCUCAGGAGCUGGCUCAGGAAGUGUCCAAUUAUUUUCAUUUGUCAACAUAUUAUUCAAUAGAAUUUCAGCUUCAUCCGGUGUUCUUUCCCUGAAAACAGAACCAGCACAGCUAUCCAGGUAAUCUCUGGAAGCAUCGGUUAGUCCAUUAUAAAAGAUAUCAAGUAUUUCAUUUUUCUUAAGAGGAUGAUCAGGCAAAGCAUUAAGUAAUUGGAGAAGCCUCCCCCAAGCUUGUGGGAGACUCUCUUCUUCAAUUUGCACAAAAUUAUAUAUAUCCCUCAAAGCAGCUUGUUUCUUAUCAGCAGGGAAAUAUUUAGCAGAGAAGUAAUAAAUCAUAUCCUGGGGACUACGCACACAACCAGGAUCAAGAGAAUUAAACCAUAUCUUAGCAUCACCCUUUAAUGAGAACGGAAAUAUUUUAAGGAUAUAAAGGUAGCGAGAUUUCUCAUCAUUAGUGAACAGGGUGGCUAUAUUGUUUAAUUUAGUAAGAUGUGCCACAACAGUUUCAGAUUCAUAGCCAUGAAAAGGAUCAGAUUCAACCAAAGUAAUUAUAUCAGGAUCAAUAGAGAAUUCAUAAUCCUAAUCAGUAACACAGAUAGGUGAAGUAGCAAAAGCAAGGUCAGCUUUCAUUCUAGCAUUAAGAGAUUGUUGCUUCCAUUUAGCUAAUAACCUCUUGAGCUCGUAUCUAUCUUUGCAAGCUAAAAUAGCUAUAGCACCUUCUUUUUCCAAAACAUAACCCUCAGAAACAACAGGCGAUUCAUAUUUACUAGGGGGAGAGUCUUCAUCAUCACUUUCAUCAAUGUUAUCAGUUUCAAUAAUUUCAUUCUCUCUAACCCUAGCAAGCUGUUCAUCAAGAAAAUCACCAAGUGGCACAAUAGUAUCAAGCAUAGAAGUAGUUUCAUCAUAUGUAUCAUGCAUAGUAGAAGUGGCAUCAUCAAUAACAUGUGACAUAUCACAACGAAUAGCAGAAGCAGGUUUUGGUGUCGCAAGCUUACUCAAAACAGAAGGUGAAUCAAGUGCAAAGCUUGAUGGCAGUUCCUUACCUCCCCUCGUAGUUGAGGGAUAGAUUUUUGUUUUCUCGUCUUUCAAGUUCUUCAUAGUGACCAGCAGAUAUAAAUCCCAAGUGACUCAAAAAAUAGAGCUAUGCUCCCCGGCAGCGGCGCCAGAAAAUAGUCUUGAUAACCCACAAGUAUAGGGGAUCGCAACAGUUUUCGAGAGUAGAGUAUUCAACCCAAAUUUAUUGAUUCGACACAAGGGGAGCCAAAGAAUAUUCUCAAGUAUUAGCAGUUGAGUUGUCAAUUCAACCACACCUGGAUAACUUAGUAUCUGCAGCAAAGUAUUUAGUAGCAAAGUAAUAUGUAAGUAAAGGUAACGGUAGCAAAAGUAAUAUUUUUGGGUUUUGUAGUGAUUGUAACAGUAGCAAUGGAAAAGUAAAUAAGCGAAGAACAAUAUGUGAAAAGCUCGUAGGCAUUGAAUCGGUGAUGGAGAAUUAUGCCGAAUGCGGUUCAUCAUGUAACAAUCAUAACAUAGGGUGACACAGAACUAGCUCCAAUUCAUUAAUUUAAUGUGGGCAUGUAUUCCGAAUAUAGUCAUACGUGCUUAUAGAAAAGAACUUGCAUGACAUCUUUUGUCCUACCCUCCCGUGGCAGCGGGGUCCUAAUGGAAACUAAGGGAUAAUAAGGCCUCCUUUUAAUAGAGUACCGGAACAAAGCAUUAACACAUAGUGAAUACAUGAACUCCUCAAACUACGGUCAUCACUGGGAGUGGUCCCGAUUAUUGUCACUUCGGGGUUGCCGGAUCAUAACACAUAGUAGGUGACUAUAGACUUGCAAGAUAGGAUCAAGAACUCACAUAUAUUCAUGAAAACAUAAUAGGUUCAGAUCUGAAAUCAUGGCACUCGGGCCCUAGUGACAAGCAUUAAGCAUAGCAAAGUCAUAGCAACAUCAAUCUCAGAACAUAGUGGAUAUUUGGGAUCAAACCCUAACAAAACUAACUCGAUUACACGAUAAAUCUCAUCCAACCCGUCAUCGUCCAGCAAGCCUAUGAUGGAAUUACUCACGCACGGCGGUGAGCAUCAUGAAAUUGGUGAUGGAGGAUGGUUGAUGAUGACGAUGGCGACAGAUUGCCCUCUCCGGAGCCCCGAACGGACUCUAGAUCAGCCCUCCCGAGAGGUUUUAGGGCUUGGCGGUGGCUCCGUAUCGUAAAACGCGAUGAAUCCUUCUCUCUGGUUUUUUCUCUCCCCGAAAGUGAAUAUAUGGAGUUGGAGUUGAGGUCGGUGGAGCGUCAGGGGGCCCACGAGGCAGGUGGCGCGCCCAGGGGGGUAGGCGCUCCCCCCACCCUCGUGGACAGGGUGUGGGCCCCCUGACGUGGAUUUUUCUUCCAGUAUUUUUAAUAUUUUCCAAAAAGAUGUUCCGUGGAGUAUCAGGUCAUUCCGAGAUUUUUUGUUUCUGCACAUAAAUAACACCAUGGAAAGUCUGCUGAAAACAGCGUCAGUCCGGGUUAGUUCCAUUCAAAUCAUGCAAGUUAGAGUCCAAAACAAGGGCAAAAGUGUUUGGAAAAGUAGAUAUGAUGGAAAGGUAUCAUUUCCCUCCCCAGAUCUGCGGGGCUCCUCUCCUCCCGGCCCCCGCGCUCGGCUAUCCCGCCUUCCCUCCAUGGCCGCUGCUACAAUUGUGGUGAGGACGACGGCCACAUCUCGCGCCACUGCACCAACCCGACCAAGUGUGUGCGUUCCGGUGGGUUCAACCACAUCUCUCGCGGUUGCACCCGUCCGAGGAGCCCCUCGGGCUCGCCGCCGGCGCGCCUGCCCCCUGCGCUACGUCUACAGGUCUCUCCGCCCUCGCCUGGUUCCCUCCCUACGCCGCCCGCUGGCCCUCCGCCACCGGGCGCUGUUCGGCUCGUCGACUCCCCCCCGGGUCGCGACCGCCCCCUCCCCCCCCCACGCCGGCUGGGGCGUUCCGGGCGGGGCGUUCAUGGGCGCAGGUGGCCAGUGUUGCAUCCGCUUCGUCUGCGCAGAGUGUGGCUGGUCCGGGAUUCUCUGUUCUGUAAGCGUCGGAGUCUCCGUGUCGCCCCGUCAUCGAACCGGUGGUGGACUGCUGCUUCCUCGAUAGGGCGGCCGACGUCCGCGCUUUGGAGGAGGAGUUGUCGCGGGCGGUGGUGGUGUCUGUCUCGGCGGCAAACCAGGUGGUGGACCUCGCCGUGGCGGCACAGACGCUGCAUGGGGAGUUUGAUCUCGCCCCCCUCGACAUGCAGGUCCAAGGCUACGCGAGACCGGAUGGUGGCCAAAGGUCAUGCCGACGUGCCGCAGUUCUUGCUGCUGCUACGCCCAUGGCUGCGGCAAGACAGGGCGACGGGCAUUUCAAUGCCUUUCCUGGUGCAGCUCUUAUUGGUGGGCGUUCCGGCGAACGCGUGGACCAGACGCACGGCGGAUGUGCUGCUUCGUGACCUCGACACGGUGGUCAAGGCGGCGGACCGGACUACGCGCCGGGACGACAUGGCUAGCUUCCACGUUUGGUUAUGGACUGAUGAUCCGGCACGGGUUCCACCUCGGCACAUCCUCGUCGUGGAGGAGCCGGCUCAACACGGGGCGGGACUGGCCGUUGCCGGCGUGGACGCUUUGUGGUAUCCUAUGGACAUCUUCGUCGAUGCUGAGCCAGUCAGGGUUGGGUGCCAGGAUCUUCCGCCGCCGCCGCCGGACGUGGAGGAUGCGACCCAGAGUGGGGAUUCAUCGGACGCCCGCCUGGCUUCCAGCGCCCCAACGCUGGUCACCACGGGCAGGCACCUGCGCUUGCCCACCCUCCCGCCCAUCCUGGAGGCCGGCCGGCGCCACUUGCCAGGGUGUUGGACGCUUCGCCGCCGGCGAGCACGCGGCCAGUUCAAAUUUCGGCGGUGGUUCGGUCGCCCGCGCGCUCUGCUGGUCGCGAUGGUGUCACGGUGGGGUCAGGGAAUGACGCCCAAAGCACGCUCGGGUUGGUACAAGGGGCCCCAUCAGGGGGCAGGUGCAUGGUGAGUAGUGUGGAUGAGUAGCUGGCUCUGGCCGAAAGCGGUGUGGGUCCGGAGUCCAGUCGUGGCUCGGCGUCUCCCCUAGCUGGCCAAGUGGAGGUGGGGUCCCUUGCCUCGGUGAUGCUGCCGCAGUGGCAUGGAUCCCACGCGCGGCAAGAGGAGGCUAGCGUUCGUGCUACCUCGGAUCCGGCGCGGUCGGCCCUGGCGUUCCGCGUCGGGACAACUCAGCUGUCCACACCCGCGGGGGCCCGCCACUCGCAAUCUCCUGCAGCACCACACGACGACACGGAUUGGGCAGUGGACAUGCAACAAAUGGGAACUGAGCAUGCAGAACCAGCAUAUUCCGCGCACGUAGACCAGUCCGGAUUGGGGGAGGGACCGGAUCCCAUGCAACUCUCACCUCCCACGUCAAACUGCCAGUACAGCUCGGAGGCCUCUUCCAUUGCGCAUUGUGUGGGACAAGUUCAUGAGUUAGACACCUUCCUGGUUAGCCUCUCUGAGGAGGUUCGGACCCUGACACAUGAUGGGGAGGGGGCCCACCCGCAGCAGGAGUCCCAAUUGACUGCUUGCACACGCCUGGACGCAUUUUGCGCUCGAGUCCAAAGGGCGCUUUCUCCCAUUCUACAAAACCCAGCUUCUCGUGCCCCCGCAACGAAGCGUACCCGGCAGCGGAGGCAGGUGGCCCUGUCUACACUGAGGCGAAGUGUGCGCUUGGCAAGAAGAAGGGCACAUGGCUCAGCGGCAAGUAAGCAACAUCAAGUGAUCAUACGCAAGCUCUGCUUAGCCCACGAAGGGGACACGAUCGGAGAUGAGGCGUUCAAGGCGUACUUCCUCCUGUUCGAAUAGCCGCUCAAUGAUACCCACAUUGCUUCUAUACUUGCGCUCUUUGGCUGGGAGCCGUCGGCCCUCCCGAUGCAGGACGAGGUUGAAGGAGUGAGGGUUUAACACCCCUUUGCUCCGGUGGCAUUGGCGGGCUGUUCUUAUGGCUGAACAACCGAUAAAAAAUGCUUGUGUGGAAUGUUCGUGGGCUCAAUUCACCGGCGAGGCGGCACACUAUCUUCCAAGUGGUGGUCUCGGUAGACCCUAGCAUCGUGUGCUUCCAAGAAACUAAGUUGGAAGUUGUAACACUUGAGGUUGUCAAACAAUGCCUCGGUAAUAAAUUUGAAAGUUUUUACUACCUCCCAGCGAUUGGGACGUGCGGUGGCAUUCUGUUAGCUUGGGAUCCGCUUGUGCACUACAAAAAAAUACACUUCCGUGAUGAUACAUGUUAGUCACAGUAGGUCGCUUUUUUGUCAUGCAUGUACAUCCAUGACGAUUUUAUGACAGAAUCAAGAUAGUCAUACCUGUGCUGUCAUAGAAGUGUUCCAUGACAUUACCAAAAUUAUCAUCACGGAGGUGUCCACUUCCAUGACGAUAAAUCGCGCGUCACAGAAGUGCUUUCGUCAAGGGUGACCGACACGUGGCAUCCACCGUAUCGGAAUGCCGUUAAGCUAUGGGGUCUGGCUUUGGAUCCGAUAACCCGUUAACAGCCCCAACCAAUGGGAAAUUUCCACGUGUAAAAUUCUUAUUGGCCGGACGAAACACGUGUCAGCUCGUUAGUGGGUCACAUAGGCGCCUAUGAUAUGUCAACACGUGCCACGGCCCACCAUUGGCCCAUUUAGCUUACAAAGCCGGCCCGUUUGACAUGGUCAAAAGUUAACGGGUUGGCCCAUGAAAAGCCUGUUAACGGUCUCUUCGCAAAUAGCCCAUUUUACGUCCCGUUAACUCACGACCCGUUAGGCCCUAAAGGAAAUCGGCCCAACAACGUCAUGUGGGCCGUCGAAUAUAACACCAGCCCAUUUCACUUUUGGCCCAUGUAUGGCCCACGACGUCUUUCGGCCCAUAUGAGGCCUUCAUAUCUUUCGGCCCUUUACAGGCCCACGGUGACUCUAGCCCAUAAUGAACAGUAAUUUUCUUUAUACCCGUUAACGGCCCGUGAUUUACAUGCGCCGUUUCCAGCCCGUGUUAGCUUUCAGCCUAUUGACGGCCCAUACGUUCUUGGGCUCCUUUUCGGCCCUUGAUUACUUCCGGCCCGUUACUGGCCUGUUCCCCUAAUGGGCCAAAUUCGGCCCAUGGCAAGAGUCAGCCCGUUACUGGCCUGUUCCCCUAAUGGGCCAAAUUCGGCCCAUGGCAAGAGUCGGCCCGUUACUGGCCUGUUACCCUAAUGGGCCAAAUUCGGCCCAUGGCAAGAGUCGGCCCGUUACUGGCCUGUUACCCUAAUGGGCCAAAUUCGGCCCAUGGCAAGAGUCGGCCCGUUUCUAGCCUGUUAACCUGUUGCGCCGUUUCCAGCCCGUCCUAUAUUCUGGCCCAUUAACGACCCGUUAUGCCUGUGAUAGAAUUAAGCCUUUGCUGUCCUACGGCCUGUUAACGGCCUGUUACCAUGCUGGGCCGAUACCAAUUACGCCCGAUUACGGCCCAUGUAGACCCAUUUAUCCGACGGCCCGAGGCCCACCGAUUACAGGCCCAUUUAUCGACGGCCCAUAGGACACCCAUGGAUCCUACGACCCGUAUAUGGCCCAUGGUAGUUGCGGCCACUAGCAAACCAGGGAAAAAGAAGACAAGGAAAUAAAUAAGGCCGAAACUAACGCUAGGCUAUUAAGGCGAUUGCACAGAUUACAUCCACUCGGCAUCAAAGAUCGCCACCAGUGCAAAUACAGGGAACACCCUACACUAUACAAAAAUGGCUUGCUAUUUUCUUCAUCCGGUGGCUGCACGUUAAUAAUAAAUUUUGUAUCGCACCAAAACAAAUUACAACUAUAUAACAAAAUGAAGGUUGGCAUAAAACUUAAGAGUCUAGCAGAUAAAUGCACCACCAGAAGUUCAGAAGCUCAGUUCAUUUGACCUGACUGUUAUGUUUUCAUGCUCUAUUUUCUGAUGGAGCACCAUAACCCUUGCCUUCAUUUCCCCUAGGCUCCUGAACAACAUAGCAAAUGUCUGAUAGUGGUUUCAAAACCAUGCAUAUCUUGACGACAUUGAGCAAUGUUUCUCCUUAUUUCACAAAGGGUCUCUGUUAGGGAAUGGACUUGUGUCUGGAGCGCAGAUACAACAUUGCUUUGAGCUUGCAUAUCUUGAUCAUGAGGCAGUUUGGACGAUAUUGCCUUAACAACCAACCCAGUAUUACACAGGAACGUGUUUUUGGCACUGUUAGUGGACAGGUACUGACCCACUGCAGCAAGAGCUGACAUUGCGGUUAUAGUUGCCUCGCCACCUUCUCAAGGUGGCGGUUCCACCAUUUUUUCCAUAGCUCGCUGAAAAGUUGAGGUUUUACAUUAGUAGUACCAGAACAGAAGAUAUUAUGGAGGCAGCAAAACCAAACAAAAUAGCUUUGGCUAUAUACAUAACUUAUUCUGGUGAACCCAUGUAAAAUAUUAGUUGUAUUUUAUUGCAAAGUACAUAAUAAAACCAGGUUCCAAACAUAUGACCAUGUACCAUCGCUAAUGUAUUGUCUAUUUCUUCACAUUAUAUUGAGGGCUAAGGAUAAAGAGACGAAGUUUAUAAUACGGUAAGCAUAGUAUGACAUCAUUCAUAUCACAAAACAACUGAGAACAGACAAACAUGCAAUUGUAACGUUGUGUGGGCAAGUCCAGCACGGAACUAGAUUACGGGUCAAGAUCAAAGGAACAUCACUCCUCUCUUUUAAACCUUGUAAGGUGCAAUGAUACGCUAAGACAAUUGUGUAUAAAAUUGAAAAGAGUAAUAGACAUUGGUUGCAAACCAUGCAGUUCAACGCACAAGUCAGAGUAAGUAGUAGUUAAAAGGCAUGAAGAUUAAGGACUUACAACAGCGGCUUUGACUGGUGUAGUCAUGCCCUUCUUCUUGCUGGUGUGACAGUCCUUGAAGAUUUCCACAACAUUUGGUUCAGGUACUUUUUGGUCCUUGCGGGCUUUCCUCUGCAUUUCGAACAAGUCAAUAUAGAUCUGAUAAUAUGGUACAACGAAAAGAGUGAAACAGCAGCUAAUUACAAGAGCCUCGCAGUGUGCAAUAUAGCUAUGAGAUCCUGUCGUCUGUUGGAAUUUCACUUUCGUAUGGUUGGCCUUGUUCUUUGAACAAUUCACCUACAAGAAGAUAGAUUUGUGUGGCACAUGCGUAAAUAUGACCUCAACAUGUGAUCUGAUCACAUAUAUAUAAUGUACCUGAUACUUCGGAUCAGACCAGUGUUUAACAAGGCCCCUCCAGUCUUCAUCCGAUAUAUUUUCCACUGGAGAUGUUUGGGAAAGUUCACUAUUAGCCUUGCCUUCAAAGUGAGUUUUCCUCAAGUUAUACCGAUAUUGUCGCAGACCAGACUUGAAAACAUGGGUGCAAGCUUGUCUGGUUGCAUCAUCUUGGCUAUCCGACUUGAACCUCAUCUGUUGAAAAUUACGGGAGUCUCAUUAUCAGCAACCUAGAAAGUAUGGGACAGAGCAAGACGAUAUUACUAGUUUCCAUACAUAACCAUACUUACAGAUAAAUGGUCGAGGAAGGUGUUGAACUAGGUUUCGUCUUUGUCAUUCAUGUACUGAAUCCAUGUUGGGAGGAUACGUACAUGACACCUAACGGCAACCGCUGUCUCUGAUACUAACUUGGCUGACUCUGUAGCAUCAUGUGGCCUCUUUAAACCUGCCUCAAAACGGAUCUCCAUUCUUCCUCCUCUAGAUUUAGUUAACCUAUCGAGCAUUAUCCCUGAUGUUUGUUUCCUCUGGUGCCUAGGUGCUAGUCGAAAAACGAACAUAGGAAGUGUUACUGUACAUCAAACUGUGAGACUACAUACAAAGAAGCAUGCAACUGUAACUGGACUCCAGCAACUACCUUCUUGCUGUUGAAGCUCACAAGGUUCAUCUGAUAUUGCCAACUCGUCUUGUGUCAAGAGUGCUUGGGAAGUAGUGUCAGGUGGCAAGGGAGCCUGGGAACGUGCUGCUAGCUCAGUUGACGCAGGAGUAAGUCGUGCAGCUGGUAGUAUUGUGGUAGGUGUUGCAAGAACUAGGGCCGUCUCUGCUUGUUUGCUGGCAGCUAUUUGUUUCUGUUUGGCUUUUUUUGCAACUCGUGUAGCAUGGGAUGCCGUGUUUGUAGAAUUUUCUGCUGGACUUUGACCUUCUAUUACACCAUCAGUACCAGCAGAAUCUGCAGGAUUCAUUCGCUUCUCAUUCCCUGCCAUUUUGUGUUUCUUCCGCUUCUCAUCCGCUUCUCAAGCCGACAAGAAAAACGAAUAACAAUUUAGUUCUUCAGAACAAAUUGAUGCGUGAUGCAGAAGAACUGAACUUUGAUGUUAGACAACCACAUGAUAGGAGGAUGUAAUAUGUAUGAAAAACAGGACGGAAGAGAUAACCAGAACUAUGAUGUGUAAACUAAGAAGAAGAAAUUUCACCAAAUUAGAAGCAAUGCAAUGGAAGGUAGACACCAUAUGAAAGAUGCUACAAAUAUCGCUCUGCCAAGUUAACAGUGUCUCAUCAUAAAUGGCGUUUAAACAAAUGUGAAGCAGUACAAGAAAUAAAUCAUAUGCAAGAUGCAAACAACAUCACACUACCAUGUUAGAGGUCUCUCGUCAUUAGUGCCAUUGCAUAUUCACAGCUUAUGAUGUGUAAACUAAGGAGAAGGCAUUUCAACAAAUUAGAAGCAAUGAAAGCUAGACACCAUAUGAAAGAUGCAAUGAAUAUCACUCUGCCAAGUUAAAAUUGUCUCGUCAGAAGUGCCAUUUCAACAAAUUAGUAGUACAAGCUAGAAAAGAAUGUGAGAUGUAACCUAUAUCACACUCCGAAGUCAAACGUGUCUUAGGAUAAGUGAUUGUUGCAGGUUACACAACAGUAGUAAUUUGAUGUAAGAACAUGGUGUGAUAGACAUAUAUUGUAUGUUCUAGAAACAGGAACACGUGUCUUAUUCAAAUAUAAUGUGUAAAGUAAGCAGAUGGAAUUCAACAAAAUUAGAAGCAAUACAAGCUAGACAUCACACAUAACAUGCAACCACAUAUAAUAGUGCCAAGUUAGAGGGAGCACCGGUGAUGCUGCACUAGGGGAGACGUGCUCAUCAUAAACACAACUUUGUUGAGUGUCUAUGCAUGUGUUGUCUUGGAAAUCAUCUUGGGGCUGUGGAGGAGUAGAAACUGUAGAGGCCCUCCGUUCGGAAGGAGCACCUUUAUCCGCUGCCUUGCUAACUUCCUUCCGCUUUAUUGAUUUUGAAUUGUCAAGUAAAACCGACAAGAAAAAGCAAUAAAAUUCUCUCUUCAGAACUCAUUCAUGCAUGAUACUGACAAGCACUACUUUGAUGUAAGGCAAACACAUGAUACCAGGAUUGAAUAUGUACGAAAAACAGGACGACAUGGCAUGUUCACAACUGUUUGUGUAAACUAAGCAGAAACGAUUCCAGCAAAUAAGAAGCAAUGCAAGCUAGACACCACAUGAAAGAUGCAACCAAUAUGACUCUGCCAAGUUAAAAGCAUCCCAUCAUAAAUGGAAUUUCAACAAAUUAGAAGCAGCACAUGCUAUAAAUCAUAUGAAAGAUGCAACUAAUAUCGCAUUGCAUAUACUAAAGGUGUCUCGUCAUGUUGAUUGACGCGGGAUACAAAAAACAAUAGUUUUAUGUAAGGACAUGCUUAAUAGACAGAUGUACUAUGUACUAAAUACAGGAAGGCAUGUCACAUUAACAGGUAUAAUGUAUAAGCUAAGCAGACUAGCACAUGCAGUUUAACCAGAUUGGAAGAAUUACAAUCUAGACACCAUAUGCAACAUGCAACCACAUAUCACGCUGCCAAGUUAGAGCAAGCACCUGCGAUGCUAGUGUAGGGGAAAUGCUGUAAUCAACUACAGAGCUACGUUCACUAUCUUCAUCUAGCAUUUCUGUUUCUUGAGAAUCAUGUCGGGAGGCUGACGCUGCAUUCUUUAAAUGAGUAGUAGUCCCCUUGCCUGCCUGCCUCGUCAUAAGUGAUUGAUGAGGGAUACACAAGAACAUUAGUUUGAUGUAAGAACAUGGUUAAUACACAGAUGUACUAGUAUGUACCAAAAACAGAAAGGCAUGUCAUAUUCAAAGGUAUAAUGUGUAAGCUAAGUAGAUGCAAUUUAACCAAAUUGGAAGCAAUACAAGCUAGACAUCCGGCUGGAGUGGUGAGCAUGAUCAUCUAGGACCUGAGAGCCUGGUGGGAGGCGGGCUGCUUCGCCACCAUCGCAGCUUUUUAGUUGGCUUCCAGGUGAUGCCUAUCUUUGCUGGGCUUGUCACUGGCUCGGUCAGUGCCCUCACUAGCUAUUUGUCUUAUGGUGCUCAUGGGAUGGUGGUUCAUGUAAAAAAAAUAUUUCCUUAUCUUACCGACUUCGGCCUUUCGAAUACAAGCUAGGCACCAUAUGGAACAUGCAACCACAUAUGACACCGCGAAGUUAAAGCAAGCACCUGGGAUGGUGGUUCAUUGCGAGCGAGGUCAUCAACUCCAGAGCUACGUUUACCGUCUCGAUCUGCUGACACUGCACCCUUUAUAGCGCUGUAACGUGUCUUGCCUACCCGCAUACGAAGCUGGAGCGACUUCUCUCUUUUCUUUUUGGCUUCUCUCAUGGCAGCAGAGUCUGAAAUACCCUUGCAUAAAAACACAAUAGUGAGAGUAAGGGUGAAGUGUGUGCAGAACUAGUGCACUGUAAAAGUAGAAGAUAGCAGGUGGCUGAAAAAUAAAUGAGAGGAGACAUAUGAUAGCUCUACAACAUUGCAUGGCAAACAAAAUUAGAUUCUACUCCGUAUGAUUUUGUAAUAUAUGAGCACAGGAAAUGCAGGUACUCCUCCAGCACACCACCACAUGUGGUCAUAUCUAAGAUAACAGUCGACUGAAAAUAAAUAGGUCAGUCGAUUUUUUAAUGAACCGUCCGAUCUAUAAGGAACGGGCAGAUGGCCUUCGUCUACCUCCCGCCAGUCACUGUUGACGAUCUUUCUCGAACCGCCAGCGACCAUCGGCCCAGACCCCUACCUCUGCCGCCCCGCCCUCCCAUCGACCUCACACCACCGCCGUGCUUGGCAGCGCCCCCAGGCCAUCCCUUUAAUCCCGGCCGACCUCCAGAUCGGGCGCCAGUAGCUCUAGGCCGCACACGCCCCUAAGAUAAACACCAAGGCGCUGCUUCCCCGGCGUAAUAGGCGUACUAGCGUCUGUUACGCCGGGGAAUGCUUCCGUUAAUUGGGAAUCAACUGGCCAGAAAUUGAAAUUCAGGGGGGGCGACAGACCUCUAGCUAAGGUGAAAUAGUAUAUGAGGAGAAACCUUGUGCAUCGCGAGUUACUAGGAACAUCUAGUAUCAAGAAGAAGCGGUCAACCAGUGUCUUCUGUGGGAUGAAUACCGUGCAAGCAGAGACGUAAGAUUUGCACGAAUAAGGGAAGAGGAGUACCUUUUUCGGUUGCCGGUGUGGUCACCUCCACAUGUCGCGCCGAUCUUCUUCUUUUUACCGGGGAAACCGACGUUCUGGAGGGUGCAGGCUUGGACGAACCCAUGGCCAAAUUGUUGACUGUGUUGCCGUGGCCGUAUGUCGGCAGAGGGGAAGCAGAUCCGAGGCGGCGAAGGACGGGGUAGCAGGAACAGCUCCGGUGUGGUGGAGGGUGGCGAAGUUGGAGCGGCAGCGGUGAGGCGCAGGACGGCGUGGUUGAACUGGCUCGGGUACGGACGGCUCGGCCUCGGCUUCAACUACUAGCCGUGGAGGGCAUUGCGGUUGAGGUUGCGGUGGAUGACGACGUCGGGGUAUCGGCUCCGGCGUGAUGGAGGAGGGCGGCGGUUGAUGGGUGGGAUGGGGUGGCGGACGGAGGAUGCCGGGGUUUCGCGGCUGGUGGAGAGGUAGUUUUGGCGCCCACGGAGUACGAAUGGGGAAUCGGACGGGUGGGGGGGAACCAUGUUUCGGUCUGGGGCGUGCUUGUUUUUGGCUUUGUUUGAACAGAAGAUGGGACGCGCUUGUUUGAAAUUUGGGGAAAGUACAAACUUUGCCCCCCUCUUAAAUUUCGGAUCUACUGCGGUGUCACAUCCUAGCUAGUUCAUGCAUUAGAGUGUUGCAACAUGUUCCUUUUUCCAGAAACUUGAAAUGGGGAAGCCAGAAACCCUAGCACCCCCCUGUUUACAACUAGGGUUUACUAAAAAAAAUUUCAAUGAACCUGAAAUGCCCUUCUAAAAUGCUCAUCAUCUCUGCCUUGGUCUUAAACCACUGCCAAAAGUGAUGCACAAAUUUCUAGGACAUCUUAAUGUCACUGGAUUAAUCCAUUAGCUAUUUGAUUUUGGGCAUUUAAAUAAUAUAAAAUAUUUCUAGUGCUCAAAUAAUUCCAAACUGAAAUGUUCCAUGCCAUAUAAAUUCUAAACAGUGGCCAUGUGCAUUUUGGUGAUUUUAGGAGAUGCCCAAGUAUUUUUAGUAAUGCAACAAACUUACAGAAAAAUAGAAAAACAAUUUAAAUAAGACAAGAGAGAGAGAGAGAGAAAGGCUAGAGGCCACUUACCUGGCGCCCACCCGUGGCCCAGCAGAGGCCCAGCCCACCCGGCCGUGCCAGUCAUCCCCCACCUCUGCCAGUAGGCAGAGGAGGGACACCGUGACGCCGCCGCGCGCGCCACGGCGUCACCUGCUUGCCGCCCGCGCCUCUGGAGGAUCUGGACGACGCCCACGUCGCCCGCUCGACCGCCCCGACACCUCAUUCCCCCCUGCUUCUCUCUCUCGCCCUCUCCUCGCCAUGGCCGAAGCAGCCGUCGCCGUCCCGCCGAUGUAGUCGCCCCCACCGUGCUCCCCUCGCCUCCCCGACGUGUCCACGAGCAUCGCCACGCUGCCCACGUUCCCUCCGUCGACUCACACCUCGCCGGAUGCCCUGCUCCAUCGUCACGGCGUCGUCUUCAACCUCUCGGUCGCCGAUAUCGCCGGCGACCUUCCGUCGUCACCAGCCCCUCCCCGAGCUCGACGAGGCCACCGCUGCACUCACGGUGAGCCUCUCCAUCUAACCCCGCUCUCCGUUUCCUCCCCGGUACGCCGUAGACGCCGCUCCGCGGACGUGCGAACGCGCCACCGCCGAGCUCGUCGCCGGCACCACUCCGGCCACUCCCCGGCCGCGCCACCCCCAAGGUAGGAUGCGGACGAGCGUCCGCAUCCCGUAGCUGUGCUCCGCGUGCCAAACGGCGCCCCGUAGGGCAAACCCGUGGCUCGCCGCCGCAUCUGGCCUCGCCGGCGGCUAAACGCCGGCGAGUUGACCCCGUUUGACCCAGGCUGACCCCCUCCCCUAAGUCAAUGACAAGUGGGGCCCGCCUGCUAAUUAACCUGGAUUAACUUUUAAUUAAUUCUAAAUUAGUUAGUUAACUAACAGUGACACUGACGUGUGGACCCCACACGUCAGGUUUGACCUGGACGACCCCGCUGACCAGCUGACGUCACCCUGACGCAAUGCUGACGCAUUAAUUUAAGUACUGGAAUUAUUUUUAUACAGGAAAUUCCAGAAAAUACCACAAACUUCAAAAAAUCAUAGAAAAUAAUCUAUAGCUCAGAAUGAAAAGAUUUAUAUAUGAAAAAUGAUCAGAAAAAUCCAAUCUAUCCAUCUGUACCGGUUUCAUGCAUGUUAGCGCAACCUAACCUUGCUGUUUAGAUGGAACGAGAUAAUGCACUUGUAUGACUCUAUAAAAUGGGUUUGCAUUUGAAUCUUUGGUUCAAAUGGACUCAUCUCACUCUGUUCUAGCUUCCAUUAGCCCGAAACACAUUCAUAUUGCCAUCUCAUGCUCAUGCAUCAUAUUGUGCAUUGCAUUGAUUGUAUUUCUUCUCUGUUGCCGGUAUUUGUCCCCUCUCGGUAGGCGUAUUCCGACGAUGAGUUCGAUGACACCGAUGAAGAGCUAUAUUAUCUUCAGAAGUGCCAGGCAAGCAAAACCCCCUUGUUCAUUCCGAUACAAUCCCACUCUCUCGCUCCUGCCCUCUUUUACUGCAUUAGGACAACAACGAUUCAGCUAUUACAUGCUGCGGUAGUUGAACCCCUUUCCUCUGCAUGACCUGUCAUUGCCACAGUAAAUAUAUGAAACCCACUAGCAUGAGUAGGAAUUGUUUGAGCCCUGAUGUGCCUACUCAUUCAUGCUUGUUUGUCAUGCCUGCUACUGCUUAGAGUUGAGUCAGGUCUGAUUCAUCAGGGAUGAAUUGGAAUGUGGUGAACAUGUCCUACUGUGUGAGAGCUAAGUGUGUGAACACGAUUUGGUGAAGGGUAGCGGUGAGAGGCCAUGUAGGAGUACAUGGUGGGUUGUCUCAUUGCAGCCGUCCUCAGGAACUUAGUUCUGUGUUUGUGAUCCAUGAACAGUUACUACCACACAUUGGGUUCCGGUAACUCGACCCCUCUCGACUUAUUAAUCAACAUGAUCUCUGUCCAGGAGUUGCAACUAGUUUCUGGUGUUUGUAGGUAGUGCUAGUAGUCUACUAAGUGGCACCCGGUACAGGUGGGCUUGGGACAGACUACGAACAGUGGCCCGGUGUACCAAGUGGCACCCGGAUGGUGGGCUUGGGAACCGUGCACACAUCGUUUGGGGCCAUGAGCGACACCCCGGCCGGAUCUCCUUGCGGAUGUAACCCGAAUAGGUUGAAGGUUGAAGGUUGAAGGUUGAAGGUUGAAGGUUGCCGAGAUACACGAUGUGUACAUGGUGGUAAGUGGCAAGAGCGUGUGUGGAGAAGUACACCCCUGCAGGGUUAACAUCAUCUAUUCGAAUAGCCGUGUCCGCGGUAAAGGACUUCUGGGUUGCCUGUACAGUUCAUAGACAAGUGAAAGUGGAUACUCUAAAACGCGCAAGAUAAGCGUGAGUGCUAUGGAUGGCGUUCUCGUAGGAAGACGGGAGCGGAUCCAUAGUGGUGUAUUGAUAUGGUGAAUAUGUGGACUCGUGUGCGCCACCUCAAAAGAGUUACUUGCAGUUGUAGUUUAGGAUAGCCACCGAGUCAAAGCUGGCUUGCUGUAGUUAAACUCCACCACCCCCUUUUGAUACUGAUGCAUAUGUAGAUAGUUCUGAUGUAAGUCUUGCUGGGUACAAUUGUACUGACGUUUCCCUAUUUUAUGUUUUGCAGAGAGACGUCAGUCUCGCUAGUAGUUCCGUGUGGACUUCGACGUUUAGCUUGAUACCUCAGCUACGGUCUUGUGCCCUCGGCAGGAUCUAGUAGAUAGUCAGGCUUCUCAGCCUUUUCCACUUGUAGAUGUCUGUACUCAGACAUGUUAAGCUUCCGCAUGUGCUUUGACUUGUAUGCUCUGAAUGUUGGGUCAUGAGACCCAUGUUUGUAAUAUCUCGCUCCUCGGAGCCUAAUGAAUAAGUACUUGAGUCGUAGAGUUAUGUUGUGAUGCCAUGUUGUAUUUACACAUAUCGAGCAUAUUGUAUGAAUGAUUGCAAUGCUUGGUAUGUGUGGGAUCCGACAACCUAGUUGUUUAUCCUUGGUAGCCUCUCUUAUGGGGAAAUGUAGUCUUGUGCUUCCAUGAGCCAUAGUAGUCCGCUACAGCCCGGUUCACCUGAGUCCUGCUAGCCCAACACUACUGCUCCGGAACACUUGACUGGCCGGCAUGUGAUUCACCUCGUUCCUGUGUCUGUCCCUUCGUGGAAAUGUCACGCGGUGACAUCCAGAGUCCUGCCUUGCCUGCUACAGCCCGGUUCACCAGAGUCCUGUUAGCCUAGUGCUACAGCCUGGAUUCGCACGCUGCUGACCGACAUGCUCGAUGUUGAUUCAUGUAUGCCUAUUCCCGUAAGUUAGUGCUACUUUGGGUUCACGACUAGUUAUGUUGGCCCGGGUUCUCUGUGAUAUGGAUGCUAGCGACACUAUCAUAUACGUGAGCCAAAAGGCGCAAACAGUCCCGGGCCAUGGUAAGGCGACACCCGUGGGAAUACCGUGCGUGAGGCCGCAAAGUGAUAUGAGGUGUUACCGGCUAGAUCGAUGUGACUUCGAAUCGGGGUCCUGACAUGCGGGUCGGGGUAGGAUGGUAAUCCCAGGUGUCCCAAAUAGUGGGCGGGAGCGAUUUCGGCCGCGCGCAUGUGUGCUUAGGCGGGCUUUGUGUAUGAAUGUUUUUCGGAUGCGGUUGCGUGGCAUCCAGAUGAAGCUACAAACCUACACCGGUUUAGACCUUUGGACGUCGGGCCGGUAGGUUUCACGGGUCGGAGUUAUUAGAAAAGUAAUUUCCUUGUACUACCAAACAUUGGUCUCACGCGGUUUCGGGCGAGUAGAGGCUCUUUUGGCGCUUCGUUCGAAAUUUUGAAACACAAGCAUUCACGUUUAGAGUACUCUUGAACUAUAAGGAUUAACCUAAAUAGACAACGUUAUAUUUGACCUUGUAUGUUUGAAAACCUCAUUAAAUUAUCCACUUCUUUUUGAAAUUUUGACACUUGAAAAUCCUAUAACUACGAUUAUUUUGGAAUGGAGGAGCUAAAUUUGAAUCUAUUUUGUACAUGACUACAUAUGCUAUUAUGUACAAAAUCAGAGCAAAGAUUGGUGCCCCAUAAUUUAGGUAUCGUUUACAAAUGCCAUGAUAUCAAAUUCAAAUAAUUGAAUGGACUUCAUGUUGAAUUCGAUUUUUUUAAACCACCUUAAGUUGAAUUCAAAUGUAUGCUAGUUCAUAGGUAGCUAUUUAUAAUGUCCAUUGUGUAACUUUCGUAUGUAUAAUGUGCUUUACACACACAACAUGAACUAUACUCACGUUUAUAUUCGAUUGCUAAAGCGAUGCAUUGUCUAGAGUCCAAAAUACUAACUAUGUGGAUCAAUUGUGUCGAAUAAUAACAUAGACAUGCUCAAAUUCGAUAGAAUCUAGAUGUCUGAUGGAUCAGUGACCACUCCUUACGCGAAUUGCAAAUAUCAUGAUCCCAUCCUAAUAUUUGGAUACAAUUUAUAUCUUUAAUCAAUGUGUAGAGCAGUCUUUUACGUGUAGUUUCACUCUCCAUCGGUGGUCUCUCACACAUGCUCACACACUCUCUCCCAAGGUGUCUUUCUCGCACACAUGCUCUAGAUAUAACCCUCCCUCCCUCUCGUAACCAUUUACAACUGUUUUCACUAACCUUUAUCAUAAGCACUCUUCCUCUCGCAAACAUACACACGCACAAUCCUCAUCGACCCUUUCUAUAUACAUGGACCUGCCUACGUGUCUCAUGUACGCACAUUAUCUUUACGCCUGUCUCUCACGCAUUGUCUCACACCUCUCUUUCUAAUCGACGAUUAUGAUUCUAGCAGAGCAUUCUGUAAGAUGCCCCUUAAAGUUAGGUUGGAUGAAUAGUAAUAUCAGAGAUAAAGGGGUUACCUUAGUCCGAGAACCUAGGGUUACAAAUCCUAGCCGGCUUUGUCAGUGGACACAGAGUCCUUCACAAUUCUGCUAUCUUUGUCUUGUACGACUAGUCAUCCAUGGGUCUUCCUAAAUGUGUCACGGGCCGACCAAUGUGGCGCAGGACGGAACCGAACGAAGGGCCUCACCUCGACCCACCGGACCUCACGCGGUGACACACCCUCUGCCCCCACGUCUCAUUAUCUUCUCACACCCACACAUACCAACACAAACACCACACACACAGAAAAUUUCUCCUGGUGCCUCUAUUCCCUCGCCCCUUGCAUAUACACACUCAAGGGAAUGGAAUCUCUUGUUGUGACGUCAUAUUCAUCUCUCUCUCUAGACCACUCUCAUNNNNNNNNNNNNNNNNNNNNNNNNNNNNNNNNNNNNNNNNNNNNNNNNNNNNNNNNNNNNNNNNNNNNNNNNNNNNNNNNNNNNNNNNNNNNNNNNNNNNNNNNNNNNNNNNNNNNNNNNNNNNNNNNNNNNNNNNNNNNNNNNNNNNNNNNNNNNNNNNNNNNNNNNNNNNNNNNNNNNNNNNNNNNNNNNNNNNNNNNNNNNNNNNNNNNNNNNNNNNNNNNNNNNNNNNNNNNNNNNNNNNNNNNNNNNNNNNNNNNNNNNNNNNNNNNNNNNNNNNNUCUCUCGAAUAUGUAAUACACACACAUACCUUUCUAGGCCCCGCCAAAUGCAUCAACUACACAUUCACACAUGUUACAUCACGUACCCCAUUGAUCUAAAAAGCCCUCUCUUCACGUUUAUUUCGCAUACAGCAUUCCUUUUGAAUAAAGUGUGGCCAAAAAAUUAUUUUAGAGUUUCUACAUAUAUAUACAACAUUACAAAGUUAUAUGGAGGAGUACGAACGCUAAUUUGCAUUGCAUGGUGCCCACAAUGAUAUUUAUUCCGCACUGUAAAUUUGUAUAUUUUUAUGCUAUAUACAAAGUUAGUCAUAAUAAAGAGAAACGAAGAGCAUCUCUCUCUCCAUCGCAUACCCCCCGCCCCCCCUGUACGCCCCUUUCACGUAUGCACACAAAACUAUCUCCAGGUCCUCUAAAAGUAAGCCCCCAGAAAAUUCACGCAUGUUUCAUCUUUCUCUCACGAUGUAUGCAAUGACAAUAAUUGUAUUUGAAGCGAAAGCACGAUACGUACAUUGGACUUCAGAAUCCACUCAUUACGGUCGCCAUUUACGUUUAGUGGUUAUUAUACAGUCACGGGCUCACCGUACAACUCUGUAUUUGCUCAUGACAUGACUAGUUGACCAGUUAAACGCUCCACGUGGCACCUCUAGUGUUGCAUCACAUUAUCUCACUACCAUCGUGCCCACCUGUCGACUUGUAUUUACUCUACAUCUACACUCUUAUAAAAUACAUAAAAUACACUCUUAUAAAAAACAGAGUUGGUGAUGAUGGUGUGCCUGCCAUCAUGCAAUCUAGGCCGUCCGAUUUAUACCUGACGGAUAGGAAAGAAACUAUGGCAAUUUUGCAGAAAGGUACCCACACACCUCUCCACAUUUGCAAAUAAGGCCUUCCCUCGUUCAUCCUUUUCUCUCACAAGAUAAACAAGUCAUACAAAUACAUCUUGAUGUUACGUGCAACGCACGGGCAUCUUGCUAGUAAGAAUGAAAACAAACGACAAAAUAUAUUUAUACGGUGGUUCGAAGUCAUGAUCGCGGGCACAGCGGACAAGGUGGCCUUGUAUUGGUAUGCUGAGCCGUCUAUUUUAACACACAAGAGCUGGUGUUGUGAUUAUACACACACGCACGCAUGCACACAAACUGCAUCCACGCAACACUCACACAAACACAUGCACCCACGCACGCACACAACACUCACACGUACACACGCAGCCACGCACGCAUGCAACACUCACACGCACGCACGCAACACUCACACGCACACACGCACGCAUGCAUGCACACACCAGUACACCACACGACCAACACACACUCUCACGCUCAAGUGCUCAACCUACACGUGCAUGCGCACAAAUCAGGCCUUGACAGACACAUACACAACGAGGUGAUUCCCGCGCACGGGUUGGAGCCUUGUCGCGCCUGCGUAAAUUUGUGUUUAUAUGACCUUUUUCCUAUGCGAACUGACAGGUGGGACCCACAAGGAACGUGGUCAAUUUAACUAGUCAACAUGGCGCAGACUAUUUGGCCAAUCAACAGUGCAAUCCGAUGCUGAACUGUGAGCAAGUGACCGUAUAAUCACCGCAAAUCGUAUAUAGUGACCGUAAUCAGCUUAUUCUGAAGUUCGGUGACCGUAUAGUAUUACGCUUUUCUCUCUGUAGGCCCUCCAAAAUUACAUCUCUACACGUUCUCGCACGUUACAUCUAACAACUAUGCAAUACAGCACUACUACUACUACACUCUAACAUAAUAAAUCAUAUGUGUUUUUAGUUUUACUAGAUAUCAUAUUGUUAGUUAUAAUUAUUCAGUUUGCAUACAUUAAAAUUGCCUUUGAAAUGUAUGGCCAGUAUCAUCUACCGCGUGGGAAAAAUCCCGCCCUUUCCUGUUUAAUCGGGUUUGUAUCGAUGGAUCAUGCGAAACAGCAAAACUAUAGUACUAUAUAGUACAAGUGACAGUUCACUAGGCCGUCGUGUCGUCUACUCCUCCGUCGUAAGAGUGGAGCGCUCGCUUUCAUAAAUCUUCUAGUCCCUUUCGCCGACAUGUGGGACAUCAAGCUACCGGGUCCACGCGCCAUACCGGAAUACAGUGCAGAGCAGCCGGGGUGAAGCACCCCAGUCAUGGCGCCGGUGUAGUAAUGAGCAAUGAGGCGUCAAAUCACAAAGCUGCACCUUUCCCGCAGUUAAGUUGGAGGGACGAAGCAACCAUCAUUUCACUCAUUGCUGAAUCCGCUUCUCCCUCAUCUUCUUCAACUUAACCACGUGUUGCUUCUGCCGUUGUUCUGCCUCAUGUGGGACGCGGAUUGGCUUGGUAAAGCACUGACACGUGGGACCGCAUGUUAGCAAACCACCAGGACAACGUCCUCCGAAAAUAAGAAGCCUAAUCCUAGACUUACAAAGGGCUACGUAGCUGCUACGUAUACUUUCCAUCUAAUCUAUAUAUGCCCCCCUGAUUUUCAGGUGGGGUGGGCCUUAUCCUCUCCUUUAAUCCAAUCAAAUAGUCCCACAUCACAUCAGUUUGUAACUUUAUGUAAACCAUUACGUGGAUGUAGCAUUGCUCAAAUAAGAAAUCUCCCCCGCCAUCCGCGCGGCAAAAUCACCUCCUUUUUACUAAUCUUGAUUCUAUAAUUUUUUAGAUCAAUAUAAUUGAGAUUUGUAUAGAUAGCACACAGGAGCAAAACCAAGUGGUACGGUUAAGGGCAUCCACAAUGUGUAGCCAAAUGUGAAAAUAGCUUUUGGCAUCGUGGGAACCAUUGUGGACGGUGUUGCCAAAGCCAAAAAGAUGGAACCGAAGCUCCCUGAUUGAUUGAUUGAAGGAAUAGAAAAAUGCAAUGUCUCUCCUCUUUCUCCCAUGCUUGGGCGCAUGUAGUACAGUAUAGAGCACAGAGUCUACUCCCCUGUCCCUUCUAUCACAAAUCACAAAGCAGUGAGGCAUCAAAUCACAAAAGCACGGACGAAGCAACCAUCAUUUCACUCUUUGCUGACUCCGCUUCUCCAUAGUAUUCUUCGAGAAACCAUCUCACCGCACUAGUACUCCUAGUAGUACUAGUAAACGACUUCCUGGAUGCAAAUAAGGUGGUUGUCUCGGCUUGCAGGCGGCACUUGCGAAUGACUUACCGUGGUCUCCCUCAAUGGCAUUCUCUGUCGAACGCACUUCGCCAAACCACCAAAAAAGAUAUCGUCGACGUCACCGCAAUGGGGAAGGAAGUCAAAUAUAGUUACUACCUCCAUUUUUUGUACACAAGGCCAGUAUAUCAAAAUUACAAUUUGCAAAGGGUCACUAACACUAAUUGAGGCAAAAUUGAUGGGGUUAGCAACCAAGGACAUUAAUAUCCCCUGCAUGCAUGCGGACGUGAGAAGGUUGGUUUGCAUGGCGCUGCAUUAAUCAAGCGAUGAGGAGUGAGAUGGUUAGCUCUUUGGUCUUUGGAGAAAAAAAUACGCAUUAAUUGACACGUGAAACGAGGAUUUGUAUCAAUUAAAUCCCGCGAAGGAAAACCCCGCCUUUCUUUUUUAACACUAGUACUCCUAGUACGUACGUACUUAUCCUGUUUGGGUCUAGGCCUUGCAUUGCCAAACUUCGCCACACAUUUUUGCCAAGCUUGCCUAAAAUUUUCAAAAUCAGAUGCAGGUACACUUGCGCACGGCUGUCGUGGUCGCACCGCACCCUCACACGGUCGCUCCUGCACGCCGCGGUCGCACCGCACCCUCACACAGUCGCUCCUGCACGCCGCAAACCCAAACAAGGGAACGCACCCUGAAUGACACGUGUUGUCGCAUGUGAACAAACCAAACUCAGCCAUCCUAUCGCUGACACAUAAUUUUCGUUCAUAGAGUAUGUUUAUCCAACCGCAUGUUGGGGAGUAUCCGUACGGCCCGUGCGGUGGUCUGUUGGGGAAGAAGAAGAGGUGAGGAAGAAGGAAAGAAGGGUUAGGAGACGUAGGAUAUUCAUCCAACCGCCCGAAAUGGUAGACUGACCCAAGUCAGGCGACUUGCAUAACAAAUAUAUGUUUUUACACAACAAAAGAUCCAUAAAACAACAACAUAAAGAAAAACUAUCACUGCUCGCGGAAAGAGACGGCCUCAUCGUCUUUGGCUGCCGGCAUGAACCAGCCGUCGCUGCCGACGUGUGUCUCCACACCGUGGUUGUCCUCGGCCUCCAGCUACUCGUUCAAGCGGAGCGUGCGAGCGCUCUGCACGGACGAGAGCACAGUCCGGUUCAAGUCGAGGACGUCCAGUUCCACCUGCAGGAGGGCCUCGAUGGCAGCGGCAUCCGCGCGCUCUGCGUCGAGUCGAGCCUCCGCCGCCCGGUUCAAGUCCAGGACGUCCGGUUCCGCCUACAGGAGGGCGUCGAUGAGAGCGGCAUCCGCGCACUCUGCGUCGAGUCGAGCCUCUGUCGCCCGGUUCAAGUCUAGGACGUCCGGUUUCGCCUGCAGGAGGGCCUCGAUGGCAGCGGCAUCCGCGCGCUCCGCCUCAAGUUGAGCCUCCGCCGCCCGGUUCACAUCCACGACAUCCGGUUCUGCCUACAGGAGAGCCUCGAUGGCAGCGGCAUGCGCGCGCUCUGCAUCGAGUUGAGCCUCUGCCUCCCGGUCCUCCUUUAGUAUCGCCAUGUUGAACCGCUGGUCCGCCUGCACCAUGGGGGACUCGGACGCCGGCACGAAGUCGACGUCCAUCGUCUCAUACCCAUCGUGGGCCUUCUGCACCGCGACCUCCGCCAUGAACAUUGGAUCGGCUUCCUCGUCCUCGUAGCUUGGCCUCCAGAGAACUCGGGGAUUGGCCCGCCGCAAAGCGAACUUGGGAACGGAUGUCUGUGGCACCGACCACCGCCGCGAUUUCUGCGCGGCGCUCCGGCGUCAGCAUCUUGUAGUAAGUGAUCUUGCGGCGCACCAUGGCUUUCCGGCGAACUAGGGGACGCUUGAUGCGGGCUAGGGGAUUGAAAGGUGCAGGAAUGGGCUGGAGAUUUGGUGUGGUUUUAGGGCAGUGGCUGGCGUAGGCCGAGCGGCGAAGGUUCUGGUGUGAAUAGUGGUUCCGGUGACAACCCGUCAAUCGGUUUCGACUGUACAUCGCUCUUGUCGCGUUCGCGUUGCAGCCCGGCACACUGGACCAUCCACGUCGCUCACCGAAUGGAACGCGCUUCGUCUUGCGUUUUCGCUCGCUUGUGGGACCGCAGUUGAGAGAAAACCGACGUCCCUCCCCUCCCCCGCCCGCGUCAUUUAUUAUACCACCACUCCCUCCGUUUUAUGCGGAGUAAAAAAAACAAAGGGAGUAUACAACGGAUGAGGAUCCCUGACGUGGCCGAACCCAUUGAGUAACUAGCAUGCGGGGACUAGCAAGCAUGGGGUCCGCCAGUAAGUGACCGAAAGGGAGGGUAAGGCAGGGAUACCUACGUCAGAGGUUCCACUUCCACUAUACUACUUUGACCAAAUGUUAGAGUAAUAAUACAUGCCAUGCAACUACACAAAUGUUAGAGUAAUAAUAUAUGACAUGCAACUUACACAAAGCAUACAGGGUCUAAUGCGUUUUUCGAGGCUAAAUUUGACCAAAUGUUGGAGUAAUAAUAUAUGACAUGCAACUUACACAACGCAUACGGUCAAAUUCGUAUGUGAAAGGAGUUUCCAAUGAUAUAACUUUCACAUUAUACAUCUCAUGUACUAUUAAUCUUGUCAAUAGUCAAAUUGGAAACCAUCUCGAGAACAAAUCUAGGAGUACGUACGAAUCUAACAAUAUUGAUUGGGCGUUGUUGAAUGUUGAUACCUUUUUGAUCAAAGUAGAGAUACUUUGACUACACAUAAAAGUUAUAUGUAAACAAGAAAGGAUAGGGGAGUAUAUUGUACGUUCAAAAACGAAACGAACAUUGAAUACCCUUUAUAUAUGAUUUGCGGAUGCUAUGAUCACCGGUUCAAAAUUUUGAAUCCGCCUUAGGUAUCACGUGCACCACUCGUUCCCUCUCGAUUUCAUCUCGGGGUCCGGAGAUCUAUUGAAAGAGGACUAGGGUGGGUACAUGCGAAUGAUACUCGGCGGAAAGUUCAAAUGAGGCAUGUGGGAGGAUGGACUCGACUGGAGGGCGACAUGAUCGAUGGAGAAGUGUAACAUCCCAAAUUUCCAAUUUGGUAUGUUAUACAUCGAUCAUCAUUGCAUAUCAUGUUUUAUUGCAUUUUGACAAAUCCUCGAUAAAUCCUAAGCAACUCAAGGACCCUCGGAGAGAGUUGGGAUUUUCUCGAAUUUUCAUAUUUGAUUUUUCAAACGAGGAUUGGGAUUUUAAUUAUUUUUCUCUCCGGAAAAAUAUUUCAUUCUUAAAAUAAACGAGAGGAGAAAAUAUGACUUCUCCAAAAUAUUGAAAUACUGGAGGAAAAAUGUUAAAAUCAUUAUUUGAAUUUAUUUGGAUUUUAUUUGUAAUUUUUAUUGCAUUUAAAAAUAUGCAUAUUUUUUUCAAAAUAUUUAUUUUUGAUUUUAAAAAUGUUCACCCUAUUCUAGAUUUUCUAACAAGACGGGGAAAAUUUAUUUCAUAUUUUUCUGAUUUUUAUUUAUUGUUUUACGCAAUUUUCUUCGCGGAGCUUAUUUAAAAAAAACGCCCGCGCGCCGACUGGGCCAAAGGCCCAGCCGACGGCCCACCUCGCCGCCCGUCGUCUCCGUCNNNNNNNNNNNNNNNNNNNNNNNNNNNNNNNNNNNNNNNNNNNNNNNNNNNNNNNNNNNNNNNNNNNNNNNNNNNNNNNNNNNNNNNNNNNNNNNNNNNNNNNNNNNNNNNNNNNNNNNNNNNNNNNNNNNNNNNNNNNNNNNNNNNNNNNNNNNNNNNNNNNNNNNNNNNNNNNNNNNNNNNNNNNNNNNNNNNNNNNNNNNNNNNNNNNNNNNNNNNNNNNNNNNNNNNNNNNNNNNNNNNNNNNNNNNNNNNNNNNNNNNNNNNNNNNNNNNNNNNNNNNNNNNNNNNNNNNNNNNNNNNNNNNNNNNNNNNNNNNNNNNNNNNNNNNNNNNNNNNNNNNNNNNNNNNNNNNNNNNNNNNNNNNNNNNNNNNNNNNNNNGUUUUCUUAUUUUACGAGCGUUCACCGAACCGUUCGUUUUAACGAACGCGUUCGUCGGUUUUUCUCUGUUAACGAACGUCCGUUCUUUAACCGUUCGUCCGUUUUUCUUUUUCGGCGGAUUUUCUCGUUAUUUUCUCAGAUUCGAUUUCUGAUCGAAUCUUCGUUUCUGUUUAACUUCUCGCUCGUUUAUCGGAAUCAGGUGAUUCAAGCGCCUAGAGUUUCGUCUCGAAAUUCUCUUUCCAUUUAACCUACUCAAACAAGUUUUUGCUACAGUAAAAUUUGACCUAGAUCCAGAUUAGCAAACGAAGCUUCUUUCUUUCGCCGUUUGACUUUCGUUGCUUCUUUCGAGUUGAUUCUUUUUGCAAACCGGAGUUCUUAAGUUGAACUUUCUGGUUGGAUCUUUCAUUCGGGUUUUACCUGUGCAUUAGUUGAGUACUGAUUGUAUGCUUGUUUGUUUGCGAUAGAGUACCCGGAGUGUGCCGCUUGUUACUUCGAAUCGCUAGGUUUUGCGGAUCAUGAGCAAGGCAAGUAACACUUUGAUCAUACCCAGUUCAUACCCAGUUUUUAUUGCAUUAGAUCUAUUCUCUCAAACACAUUGCAUGAUUAGGAUCUAAUAAACUGUGGGUAUUGGGAAGUAGUUGAGGUAGUACCUAUUACCUGUUUUCUAUCAAACCCUUGGGAGUUACUUCUACGUUGCUUUUAUUACUGCCAUGCUAUGCUCGUAGACGUGGAUUGGGUUUGAGUGAAAUUCAUGACAGAUGUGAGAUUGUUAAUUAAUGGUUUACUUAAGGUGGCAACUUAAACUCACAUCUGGGUGGAUUGAGGUACCUGGGUAUUCCAGGAUUGCCUGUUUUUCUUUUGGACCGCCACCCAGGUUCAAAGGGAUCAUGAGAUUUUUCAUGCUAGAAACUUCCGUGUGCAGCCGCAAGCUAUUAUGGGCUCUAGCAUAGUUGACUAAGUUGUGUGAACUCUUACAGUGGUAGACUAGCAGAUGUAGGGGAAAGUAGGUGUACCAGUCUACCCAUACGUAAGGUGCAAACACUUCUGAAAGACUGUGUCUUGGUCAUCCGUUACUCAAACACCAUGUAGUGCGAGUAAUCCAAUGGAGGAGAUCAAGUCUUGUGGGAAAAGUGCACAAACCUCUGCAGAGUGUACAAACUGAUCAUGAUUAGCCGUGUCCCCGGUUAUGGACAACUUGAGUAUCUAGUACUUGGAUUAUCAUGUGAAUCUCAACACUAUGUUACUUCUAAUUAAUUUUGUUGGGUUAUUGAUGACUUUUUAAUUGGGAUUGAGAUGCUGUCAACCAUCUCAAUGUUUCACAACCACCAUGAUAGUUAAAUAAAAUUUAUUCCUUUUGAAGUAGGAUAAAAUUGGCUUUUCGCAAAAAUGUAACCAUAGAGCUUUCCACCAGCCAUAUAUGCAUGUAGUAUAGCAUUAUUAUUAUUCAUUGCUCUCUAUGUGUUACAUUGCCAGCAUAUUCUAUGUGCUGACCCGUUUUCGGGCUGCAACGUUUCAUGUUGCAGACUUUUCAGACGACGAGUAAGGUGCCUUAGGUCGUGGUCUUAUACUCAGUGAUACCGCUGGAGUUGAUGGACUCACUUAUCUUCCAAGUCUUCCGCUGUUAUCGUUAUUAGAUGGCCUUAAGCCAUGGUUAUCAUACUUAGCCUCUUUGGAGAUAUUCGAUGUAAUAAGUGUGUGAUUGCUACUCUGUUAUAAAUCCUCCAUUUGUACUGUGCGUGUCAGCAUUACUGAUCCAGGGAUGACACUGGUGCACAGAAGCACAGGCCAUUUGAGGUCUGGUCGCUACAGAGUUGGUAUCAGAGGACACGCUGACUAUAGGACACGACCACUAAGCUUAAGCCCUAGAAAGCUUCUCUGUUCUCAUUUCUGACUCCUCUCCACUUUCUACUCUUUAGGAAUGGCGAAUGCAAGGAGCAAGUUCAUGCAACCAGAUGAAGACACGCCGUUUGGACGACAUUUGAAGGAAGUCACCAAGUACUUGAAUAUAGGAAUACCAAGCGUCACCGGAACCUACAACGCCACAUUUCCUGAAGAGGAGAGCUGGAAGAUUCAAGUUAUCAUUCCAGGAAGGACAUUUGCGCCAAUUACGGAACCCAUAAGAUUGGUUUUCGAAGCACCAACUUGGAGUUUAGGGAAGAGCAUGGCCGCACAUAUCGCCAUGGGACGCAUUGGAGAAGUCUACCACCAGGAGCUUAAGGAUACGAUUUAUCAAAUUUGUGGACGUCGAGACGCGCAAUGGGAGAUGAUCAAGACCAAGAAGGAUGGAUCAAUUGCAGCUUUCAUCCAGGAGCAGAACCAACAUAUUCGUCGCCAGGAGAACCAGAUGUGCACGGACAAGGAAGAACUAAAGAAGGCAUUUACGAAGAUCAAGGAACUCCAAGAAGAACUCAAGACUACACGCGAAGAUUAUCUGGAGGAAAUCAACGCACUUGUCAGGAAGAUUGACGACCUGGAGAAGAAGAUUGGAGCAUCCGGGGGAAAUCCAGUACCAGAAGCAGAAGUCGACGAAUGCACUUGUCCGGAUAACUACAUCAUCAUCGACGACACCGACUCGGAACCAAGUGAAGACGAAUGGAUUGAUGAAGCUGGAGCAGACAUCAUGGAGUCUUCAACGGAUCAAAAUUUCUAGUAGACCACCAUACCAGUAGUAGUUUUACCUCCAUUCAGUAGUAUAGUUCAAGCACUUUGUAAUGCUAGUUAGAUCGAUUGUUUUGCCUUGUUUGGAUUGAUUGAGUGAUAUUGAUUGAAUUUGUCUCAUGAGCAUAUGGGUAGUGUUUUCUCUCUAGACCUCAUUCUAUUCUUAAUUCUCAUCUUUUCUAAACCCAUCAGAUGCCUCCGAGACGUGACACCGGAUUUGUUUUCCCGCCAGAGAUCACCCAGUUGAUUCAGCAACAGAAUGCCCUGAUGCAAGUGUUAGUUCAGAACCAAGGCAACAACAACAACAACAACAACCCACCGCCACCACCACCUGUUGAUCACUUAGCCCGUUUCCUAAGGUUAAACCCGCCGGUGUUUUCCAGUAGCACCGAGCCGAUUGUUGCGGAUGAUUGGCUCCGCAAAAUUGGAAGGGAGUUGACCACUGCAGGAUGCACAAAUGCGGAAAGAGUGCGUUUUGCCGCACAUCAGCUUGAUGGACCCGCAGCAUCAUGGUGGGAGAAUUAUACAGCCACGCACCCUAUUGACACUGUCACAUGGGACCAGUUUCAGCAAGCUUUCCGUACAGCUCAUGUUUCAGCAGGAGCUAUGGCUAUGAAGAAGCGUGAGUUUCGUAACCUACGCCAAGGAGGACGCACCGUAGGCCAGUAUGUGGAGGAUUUCAGUAAGUUAGCACGUUAUGCAGCAGAUGGCGUUGCUACGGACGCAGCCAAGCAGGAAAAGUUUCUGGAAGGACUGAAUGACAAGCUGAGUAUGCAGUUGAUGGUAGCAACCUUAACCAACUACCAGGAGCUGGUAGAUAGAGCUCUCAUGAUUGAAGGGAAGCAACAGCAGAUUGAAAACCGUAAGAGGAAGUAUGGACAAGGGAAGUAUAACUCAGGAGCCCAGCAGAAGCCCCGUUUUACCCCGAAGCCGGGAGGACAGUUUCAGCAUACCCAUGGAGGAGGUAGUUCGCACAACCAUAAUGGCUCUAAAAAUGGAAAUGGGAAUGGAGGAAGCAACGGACAGAACCGCACCAACCCAUCUACCCCAGCCAAGAGAGACCUGAGCCAAGUUACUUGUUUUAAGUGCCAGAAGAAUGGACAUUAUGCCAACGAAUGUCCCGAAGCCCAAAAUGGAAAUGGCAAUGGAAGCUCUGGGAAGAAGCCGAACCCGUUCAACAAAGGACAUGUGAACCACGUGAGCGUGGAGGAGGUUGAAGCUCAGCCUGAUGCAGUAAUAGGUAAGUUUUUGGUUAAGUCAUUUACUGCAACUGUUCUUUUCGAUACUGGUGCAUCGCAUUCAUACAUAUCAAGGGGAUUCGUGAAUAAGUUUAAGAUGUCCACCAAAGUUCUCAAAAACCCUAUGUUAGUAACCUCGCCAGGAGCAGAGUAUAUGGCCACCCAAGGAUGUUUUCAGAUACCAUUGGCCAUUGGUAGGCAUGUUUUCCCCUCAGACCUCAUUGUUUUGGAAUCGCAAGGUUUGGAUGUGAUUCUGGGAAUGGAUUGGCUAUCGUUGUACGGAGGAAACAUCGAUUGUGCCAGCAAGACUAUUUUGCUUACCACCCCAGAAGGAAAAAGGAUCAAGUAUGUAUCCAGGCAUAUGCCGAAGAGGAGUCAAGUGAAUUCCCUAUCAGGAGUUGUACAGGAGGAAGUACCAGUGGUGAAGGACUAUCCGGAUGUAUUUCCAGAAGAGUUGCCAGGCAUGCCACCGGAUAGAGACAUUGAGUUCUUGAUUGAACUUUUGCCAGGCACCGGGCCAAUAUCUAAGAGACCGUACAGGAUGCCCGCUAAGGAUUUGGAGGAAAUUAAGAAGCAAAUCAAGGAGUUACUGGAUAAAGGCUAUAUUCGCCCAAGUUCGUCACCUUGGGGAUCACCAGUACUUCUAGUGGAGAAGAAAGAUGGAUCACUAAGGAUGGUUGUUGAUUACCGAGGAUUGAAUGAAGUGACCAUCAAAAACAAGUACCCACUGCCAAUGAUAAAUGAUUUGUUUGACCGCCUGCAAGGAGCUAAAGUAUUUUCCAAGAUCGAUCUACGAUCAGGAUACCAUCAGUUAAAGAUUCGAGAGCAGGAUAUACCCAAGACGGCAUUUACCACCAGAUAUGGAUUGUAUGAGUAUACCGUUAUGUCAUUUGGACUGACUAACGCACCUGCCUAUUUCAUGAACCUGAUGAACAAAGUAUUUAUGGAGUUUUUGGAUAAGUUCGUCAUGGUAUUCAUUGAUGAUAUUCUAGUCUUUUCCAAGGAUGAGGAAGAGCAUUAGGAGCCUUUGCGAUUGGUACUUGAGAAGCUCAGAGAACAUCAGUUAUAUGCCAAGUUCAGCAAAUGUGAAUUUUGGUUGAAGGAAGUUGGAUUUCUUGGACAUGUUAUUUCUGGAGAAGGAAUAGCAGUAGACCCUGCCAAGGUUGACACAGUGACAAGUUGGGAAUCACCCACGACAGUUGGAGAAAUCCGGAGUUUUCUUGGACUUGCAGGAUACUACCGGAGAUUCAUCGAGAAUUUCUCGAAGAUUGCUAAGCCCAUGACUGAGCUAUUGAAGAAGGACACCACAUUCAAUUGGACUGAGGAAUGUGAAGCUAGUUUCCAAGAGUUGAAGAAACAAUUGGUUACCUCACCAGUGUUGAUUCUGCCAGAUCAACGCAAGGACUAUGAAGUUUAUUGCGACGCUUCUCGUCGAGGACUUGGAGCAGUGCUUAUGCAGGAAGGAAGAGUUGUUUCGUAUGCUUCACGACAACUUAAACCCCAUGAGAAGAAUUAUGCUACACAUGAUUUGGAAUUAGCAGCCGUGGUGCAUGCAUUGAAGACAUGGAGACAUUUUCUCAUCGGAAACCAUUGUGAGGUGUAUACGGAUCACAAGAGUUUGAAGUAUAUUUUCACGCAGAAGGAGUUAAAUCUCAGACAGAGGAGAUGGUUGGAGCUCAUCAAGGAUUAUGAUAUGAGAUUGCAUUAUCACCCUGGAAAGGCUAACGUAGUAGCAGAUGCGUUAAGCCGCAAGAGUCAUGUCAACACCCUCAUGACAGGAGAGUUACCUCAGGAGUUAGCCGAGGAUCUACGCGAGCUAUGUUUGGAGAUAGUCCCGAGAGGCUAUUUAGCGACAUUGGAGAUUCAGUCUACCUUGAUGGAAAGGAUCAGAGAAGCUCAGAAGUCAGACAAGGAGAUUAAAGAGAUAAAAGAGAAGAUGAGCAAAGGAAAAGCCAAGGGAUUUCGUGAGGAUGAAGACGAUACUUUAUGGUUUGAGGACCGCGUAUAUGUGCCAAAUGAUCCGGAGAUCAGAAAGUUGAUUUUGCAAGAAGCCCAUGAUUCACCAUACUCGAUUCACCCAGGGAAUACCAAGAUGUAUUUGGAUUUGAAGAAUACUUUCUGGUGGACAGGAAUGAAGAAGGAUAUUGCGGAGUAUGUAGCAGUUUGUGAUGUAUGUCAGAGAGUGAAGGCAGAGCAUCAGAAGCCAGCAGGAUUGCUACAACCAUUGCCGAUACCCGAAUGGAACUGGGAUAAAAUAGGCAUGGAUUUUAUCACAGGAUUACCCAGGACCCGUUCCGGCUAUGACUCAAUAUGGGUUGUAGUUGAUCGAUUGACGAAAGUAGCUCAUUUUAUUCCAGUGAAGACCACUUACACCAGUGCUAAGUUGGCAAAGAUAUACAUGACCAGGAUAGUAUGUUUGCAUGGAGUUCCGAGGACUAUUGUAGCAGACAGAGGAACCCAAUUUACCUCGAAGUUUUGGAAGCAGCUACAUGAAACAUUGGGAACCAGGCUGGAAUUUAGUACAGCAUUUCACCCACAGACAGAUGGACAGACCGAGAGAGUCAACCAGAUUUUGGAAGACAUGUUGAGAGCAUGUGCACUAGAUUAUGGAUCUAGUUGGGACGACAAUUUGCCAUAUGCGGAGUUUUCAUAUAAUAACAGUUAUCAAACCAGUUUGAAGAUGGCCCCUUUCGAAGCUUUGUACGGAAGGAGGUGUAGAACACAGUUGUUAUGGGACGAAGUUGGAGACCGUCAGUUGUUUGGACCAGAUUUGAUUAAGGAGUCUGAACAGAAAGUAAGGUUGAUUCGCGAUAGGCUCAAGGUAGCCCAGUCCAGGCAGAAGAGUUAUGCUGAUUCUAAACGAAAAGAGACAGUUCACGAAGUCGGAGACCGAGUGUAUCUUCGAGUAUCACCCCUUCGAGGAGUGAAGCACUUUGGAGUUAAGGGAAAGUUAGCGCCCCAUUUUAUCGGACCAUACAGAGUGUUGGAACGUAUGCGAGAAGUUGCUUACAAGCUGGAAUUGCCCGAAGGAUUGUCUGAAGUUCAUGAUGUAUUUCAUGUUUCGCAGUUGAAGAAGUGCCACGCAGAGAUGGCUGAGAUACCACUGAGAGAUACUGUGCCACUGGAAGCGAUUCAGUUGGAAAGUGAUUUGACUUAUGAGGAGAAACCAGUUAAGAUUCUCGAGUAUGCCAGCCGAGUUACCCGCAGCAAGGUUAUCAAGUUUUGCAAAGUUCAGUGGAGCCACCACACGGAAGAUGAGGCCACCUGGGAGCGAGAGGAAGAUCUACGGAAAAACCAGUCCCACCUGUUUUCUAGCCAACCCGAAUCUCGAGGGCGAGAUUCAUCUUAAGGGGGGUAGGUUUGUAACAUCCCAAAUUUCCAAUUUGGUAUGUUAUACAUCGAUCAUCAUUGCAUAUCAUGUUUUAUUGCAUUUUGACAAAUCCUCGAUAAAUCCUAAGCAACUCAAGGACCCUCGGAGAGAGUUGGGGAUUUUCUCGAAUUUUCAUAUUUGAUUUUUCAAACGAGGAUUGGGAUUUUAAUUAUUUUUCUCUCCGGAAAAAUAUUUCAUUCUUAAAAUAAACGAGAGGAGAAAAUAUGACUUCUCCAAAAUAUUGAAAUACUGGAGGAAAAAUGUUAAAAUCAUUAUUUGAAUUUAUUUGGAUUUUAUUUGUAAUUUUUAUUGCAUUUAAAAAUAUGCAUAUUUUUUCUUAAAAUAUUUAUUUUUGAUUUUAAAAAUGUUCACCCUAUUCUAGAUUUUCUAACUAGACGGGGAAAAUUUAUUUCAUAUUUUUCCGAUUUUUAUUUAUUUUUCUACGCAAUUCUCUUCGCGGAACUUAUUUAAAAAAAAAUAUGCCCGCGCGCCGACUGGGCCAAAGGCCCAGCCGACGGCCCACCUCGCCGCCCGUCGUCUCCGUCCCGGAGACGGUCGCCGCCGGAGUCCGCCCCGGCUACGCCGCCGCCCGGCUUGGCCCCUCCUCCAAGCACCCCCUCCCCCCCUCAUAUAUAGCCCCCCCUCGCCUCCUCCCCCGAACGCCGCCGCCCGCCGCACCCGCCGCCGUACGCCGCCGCCCGCUGCCGCACGCGCCGCGCNNNNNNNNNNNNNNNNNNNNNNNNNNNNNNNNNNNNNNNNNNNNNNNNNNNNNNNNNNNNNNNNNNNNNNNNNNNNNNNNNNNNNNNNNNNNNNNNNNNNNNNNNNNNNNNNNNNNNNNNNNNNNNNNNNNNNNNNNNNNNNNNNNNNNNNNNNNNNNNNNNNNNNNNNNNNNNNNNNNNNNNNNNNNNNNNNNNNNNNNNNNNNNNNNNNNNNNNNNNNNNNNNNNNNNNNNNNNNNNNNNNNNNNNNNNNNNNNNNNNNNNNNNNNNNNNNNNNNNNNNNNNNNNNNNNNNNNNNNNNNNNNNNNNNNNNNNNNNNNNNNNNNNNNNNNNNNNNGUUUUCUUAUUUUACGAGCGUUCACCGAACCGUUCGUUUUAACGAACGCGUUCGUCGGUUUUUCUCUGUUAACGAACGUCCGUUCUUUAACCGUUCGUCCGUUUUUCUUUUUCGGCGGAUUUUCUCGUUAUUUUCUCAGAUUCGAUUUCUGAUCGAAUCUUCGUUUCUGUUUAACUUCUCGCUCGUUUAUCGGAAUCAGGUGAUUCAAGCGCCUAGAGUUUCGUCUCGAAAUUCUCUUUCCAUUUAACCUACUCAAACAAGUUUUUGCUACAGUAAAAUUUGACCUAGAUUCAGAUUAGCAAACGAAGCUUCUUUCUUUCGCCGUUUGACUUUCGUUGCUUCUUUCGAGUUGAUUCUUUUUGCAAACCGGAGUUCUUAAGUUAAACUUUCUGGUUUGAUCUUUCAUUCGAGUUUUACCUGUGCAUUAGUUGAGUACUGAUUGUAUGCUUGUUUGUUUGCGAUAGAGUACCCGGAGUGUGCCGCUUGUUACUUCGAAUCGCUAGGUUUUGCGGAUCAUGAGCAAGGCAAGUAACACUUUGAUCAUACCCCGUUCAUACCCAGUUUUUAUUGCAUUAGAUCUAUUCUCUCAAACACAUUGCAUGAUUAGGAUCUAAUAAACUGUGGGUAUUGGGAAGUAGUUGAGGUAGUACCUAUUACCUGUUUUCUAUCAAACCCUUGGGAGUUACUUCUACGUUGCUUUUAUUACUGCCAUGCUAUGCUCGUAGACGUGGAUUGGGUUUGAGUGAAAUUCAUGACAGAUGUGAGAUUGUUAAUUAAUGGUUUACUUAAGGUGGCAACUUAAACUCACAUCUGGGUGGAUUGAGGUACCUGGGUAUUCCAGGAUUGCCUGUUUUUCUUUUGGACCGCCACCCAGGUUCAAAGGGAUCAUGAGAUUUUUCAUGCUAGAAACUUCCGUGUGCAGCCGCAAGCUAUUAUGGGCUCUAGCAUAGUUGACUAAGUUGUGUGAACUCUUACAGUGGUAGACUAGCAGAUGUAGGGGAAAGUAGGUGUACCAGUCUACCCAUACGUAAGGUGCAAACACUUCUGAAAGACUGUGUCUUGGUCAUCCGUUACUCAAACACCAUGUAGUGCGAGUAAUCCAACGGAGGAGAUCAAGUCUUGUGGGAAAGUGCACAAACCUCUGCAGAGUGUACAAACUGAUCAUGAUUAGCCGUGUCCCCGGUUUUGGACAACUUGAGUAUCUAGUACUUGGAUUAUCAUGUGAAUCUCAACACUAUGUUACUUCUAAUUAAUUUUGUUGGGUUAUUGAUGACUUUUUAAUUGGGAUUGAGAUGCUGUCAACCAUCUCAAUGUUUCACAACCACCAUGAUAGUUAAAUAAAAUUUAUUCCUUUUGAAGUAGGAUAAAAUUGGCUUUUCGCAAAAAUGUAACCAUAGAGCUUUCCACCAGCCAUAUAUGCAUGUAGUAUAGCAUUAUUAUUAUUCAUUGCUCUCUAUGUGUUACAUUGCCAGCAUAUUCUAUGUGCUGACCCGUUUUCGGGCUGCAACGUUUCAUGUUGCAGACUUUUCAGACGACGAGUAAGGUGCCUUAGGUCGUGGUCUUAUACUCAGUGAUGCCGCUGGAGUUGAUGGACUCACUUAUCUUCCAAGUCUUCCGCUGUUAUCGUUAUUAGAUGGCCUUAAGCCAUGGUUAUCAUACUUAGUCUCUUUGGAGAUAUUCGAUGUAAUAAGUGUGUGAUUGCUACUCUGUUAUAAAUCCUCCAUUUGUACUGUGCGUGUCAGCAUUACUGAUCCAGGGAUGACACUGGUGCACAGAAGCACAGGCCAUUUGAGGUCUGGUCGCUACAAGAAGAGGGUUGGAGAUGAAUGAGAAAUAAGAAAAUGCCACAUGAUUAUACUUGAACGGCUCAAAUAAACAAUAAGUUGUCUCGCUUGGCCUACAUAGUGAAAGGCGUAAUGCGCAACGCGGAGCACUGACGCUCGAAUAUGGCCGGGAAAACAGGGAAACCGACAUGUGGGGCACACCCGUCGGGACGACGUAGCGCAGAAUAGUCCAAUGGAGGAGCUGGCCCACGACCUCCUCGCCACUGACAACCGUUCAUGUGGGUCGUUGGGGCCAACAACGGGGCGCAGCUCCAGCACCGCGUCUGGACACGGCGACCGCGGUGAGCGACACGCUCAUAUCGUCGCUAGACACGGUCGGUUUCAGUGUGCCGAGGGUGGCGUUAGUGCUGUGGCACGACCAAUGGUAUGUUUGGUUUGUGCCCAAGGUUGCCCCAUCAAAGCAUUGGGUAGCCAAAAUUUUGGUUGAGGUAUUGGUUGCCCAUGAUUUCGCCGACAUUGGCAAGAAAAAUGAACAAGUGUUGGCUAGAGUUCAUUGGCAUGCCAAAGAAAUGGCAACCAUCCAAACAAAGACCAAUCUUUGGGUCAUGACCAAAAUUUUGGUUGAGGUAUUGGUUGCCCAUGAUUUGGCCGACAUUGGCAAGAAAAAUGAACUAGAGUUGGCUAGAGUUCAUUGGCAUGCCAGAAAAAUGGCAACCAUCCAAACAAAGACCAAUCUUUGGGUCAUGACCAAAAUUUUGGUAAGGUGCACUUUUGCCACAAUCCAAACACACCCCAACACCCGGCUCGUCGAGGAUGCACGGGGCGCAGCGACGCGUCCGCAGAGUGUUGUAGCGCGGCCAACUGCAUCCUCUGGACCUGAGACCAUGCCGGGUCGUCUUGCUUUUUCAAUGACAUGCGGGGAUCGCAUGUGAGCAAAGGGCAUCUCCAACGUUGUCACGACCGCAGUUGACUACCCUGGCACACCAAAACCCCCUCGCGCCGUCGCGCGGUGCGUUCCCAGCCGGUGCCAGCUGCCCGCAUUCAUGUCGUCCAUUCGUAUGUCGUCGUUAAGAGGCUCGGUGCCCGAGGAACCAACUCCAGCGACUUAAUGACGCACCCGAACGCUUGGCCUCACCGGAAUGCGCUACUUAAAGCGGCAACGCCCAGCUAACCUCCACACCAUAGCGCAUCGUCCUCCUACCUGGCACCACAUCCGCCAUGACCGCAAGUGCGAACGCUCUACGGGAGAGCUUGUCUUCGGGGAUGAAGCUCGAGGUCGCCGCCCUCGCUCAAGUCGCCUCUCGCGACGCAAUAGCGACGUAGCCGGACGCGGACGCGACCGCACAAGCGGUGGCCACGCUGGCGGCUGACGAUGGGAGCACCGUCAGCCACGCGUCCUACUUGCCGCCGUCCAACGUCCGGCACCGCCGAGGUCGGGGACUCCUCCGAGGAUGAGUAGGGCAUGGGAGGCGGCAGUGCAUGGUGUGCCAACUGGCCGGUCCGUAUCCCGUGUUCUACUCUUCCUCGCCGGAGACUGCACCUUCACUUCACAGGUCUUGAACCCCGCCCCCGUACAUAGAGAUUGCAGAUGGAGGACGUCGGUCGCCGCCAUAGAAUAGGUUUAGGGUCGGGUUUCUUUUAUUUUUCUGUGCUAUAAAAGUUCGAAAUGUAAUGAAAAUCUGUCGUGUUUGCAUUAAUCUCGGCCGGUGUAUAUGAACUUUCACAAUAAUAUACAUAUUGUAGGAGUACUAGCAAGAUGCCCGUGCGUUGCACGGAAGAUCAAGAUCUUGUGGGAGAAAAGGAUGAACGAGGGAAAGCCUUAUCUGAAAAUGUGGAGAGGAGUGUGGGUAAAUUGUCAUAGUUUCCUUCCUAUCCGUUAGAUAUAGAUCGGACGGCCUAUAUUGCAGGAUGACAGGCACACCAUCAUCACCAACUCUGCUUUUUAUUGAACCGAGACAAAUCUAACAUGCGAAGUAAAAUAAACACAUAGGGUCUAUACAUACAAAAAUUAUCUUAGGCAAUCCAAUUGUACGUCCACUACACAUUCACGCAUUUCACAUCUUCUUACAUCUACGGGAACCUAUGAAAGGGUUAACGUAAAUUGCCUCUCUCUCUCCGCCCCUGAUUUUCAUGGUGGUGGGCCCCUCCCUCCCCCAAUCUACAAUCAACAGCUCACAUGUUUCACAUUAUGUUAAUUACGUAACUGGGAUUACGUAGGUGUAGCAUUACUCGUCCUAAAAGACCCAACUAAGCCAACUUCCCAGCAUAUCGCGCGGGAGAAGACCCGGCCGCGCCGUUUUAGUCGGGAUUACCGGAUUACUAGUAGUAGUAUCGAUGGAUCGCGCGAAGCAACAAAUUUUUUUUUUGAGGGGGCGAAGCACCUAGUUUAAAAGGAAAAAAGGUGGUACACUCACAGCACUCCUGUCGCGGUCGCAUUGCACCCCACACAUGUUUGGUCCUGCACACGGCUCACGCAAAUGAAACGCGCUUCGGCUUGCCUCUUCACUGACACGUGGGACUGCACUUGGAGAAACCGACCAUGCGCCAAACUCCCCCCGCCCACCGCGCGAAAAUCCCCCGCCCCACAUCCAAAAAUUCCCCCGAAAUCCGAUUCAACCGCCCUUCGGCCAACUAGCCAAUAAUAUUCCCCAAACCCCCCUCCCCCCUGUCCCCCUCCACUCCAUUCGCUCCGCCAAAGCCGCCCUCCGCGCCGCGCCGAUACGUCGGCGCCGCGGUUCGGCGAUCCUCUCGCUCCCACAGUACGCUCUCGUAGCCUGCCGUCCUCUAGCCGCGCCGCCACCUCUGGCUGCGUUCUUGUGGAGGCGCACGGCGGUCAGCGCUGCCACCGCUGGCAACGUUCGUCUGGAGACGCACAGCGGUCAGCUUCUCCCAUGGUACGCGCAUUCUAGACUGAGGCCCCGUUCAUGUCGGUGUAGCGCUGAAUGUUAGCUGAUAGACGCUGUUAAUCUCACUGUUUGCCGAAGUAGUUUACUGUCAAUAUGCUCUGCUUAAGAAGCUUCCUUGCCCUGUUCUGCACUCAAUCUGCUUAGCUGAGAUGGCAUGCCAAGGCCGAUUAAUUGCUAAAAUAUCCUGCCAUAUAUUUAUUGUGACGUAGAUUGCCAUGGUCUAGUAGCCAAUCUGUUUGGUGAAAUAGCUCUACACCGUUUUAUACUCGAUCUUUGUUGCUGCGAUGGCCUUGGAUAGUUUGAUGGCUGUGUGCUCGGCCUCAUUGACUGCUGAAACAGCCUGCCACAAUUUGGCACUCAAAUCUGUUUGCUGAAUUAGCUUUGCAUAUAUUUCGUUACUUAGAUCUGCUCGUCCAAAUAUCUUGCCAUAGCUUUAGACAUCGACCUAGGUAUUUUUUUUCUGGACUUCAUAAAAAAGCAUAUAUGUUUUUCCUGUAAUAUCUAGUAGAAGAACUAAUUUGUAUGUCUAACAGAUGGACAGGACUUGGAUAACUUCUGCUCGAAGAUUCUCCGUUGCAUAUGUCGAGGGGGUUGAAAACUUCAAGGACUUUAUUAGAGCUGAGUACGGUGGUCCGAAAUCAGAUGUGCUCUGCCCGUGCAGCAGUUGUAUGAAUUCAGUUACAAGACCCCAGUCAACUGUGCAAAAUCAUCUACACUUGUAUGGGAUGUCGGUCACAUAUACUAGGUGGGUUCAUCAUGGUGAAGCUGUGAACAUCAGUGUUAUUGACUACGUGGAAGCAGCAGAUCACCAUCUUGAUCUGCCUGAUGCUCAGGUGGAAGAGGAGGAGGAGGUGGUGGUGGCGGAGCCAGUUAGUUUGACCAACAUUGAAACAAUGCUACGAAAUGCUCAUGCAUUCCGUGAACUUUCACCUGCAGAAGAAAAACGGUGGGCCCGCAUGUUGGAACAAUGCAAUGUUGCUGUCACCCCAGGAAAUAAGCUGUCAGUAUUCUCAGCUAUGGUCACCUUUCUUCAGGUGAAGACAACUGAGCGGAUGACCAACAAAUCAUUCGAUGCGAUGUUGGCUGCUUUCCGCGAAUCUUUCCCAGAUGCGUCUGAGCUGCCACACACCUACAGUAAAAUGAAGAAUUUCCUUCAUGCAGUUGGAAUUGGAUAUGAUAUGAUCCAUGUUUGUAAGAAUAAUUGUGUUCUGUUCCGGAAGGAUUAUGCCAACUUAAGUGAAUGCCCGAAAUGCAAAUCAUCAAGAUGGAAAGAUGGCGAUGUUGUGAAGAGGAUUCCUCAUAAUGUUUUGAGACAUUUUCCAAUUACACAAAGAUUGCAGAGGUUGUUUCAUGAUGCUGAAACAAGAGAGGAUGUAUUGUGGCAUUCUAGGAACUAGGAGUACAGAGAUCAGAAUGUAAUGAGCCAUCCAUCUCAUGGUAGUGAGUGGAAAAGCUUCAAUGAUAAACACAACGAGUUUGCUGCUGACCCGAGAAACAUUAGACUCGGCUUAGCUUCAGAUGGAUUUAACCCAUUUGGCCACCAGAGCGCCACAUAUAGCAUGUGGCCAGUGCUUGUUAUCCCUUACAACAUGCCUCCAAAUGUCUGCACCAAAGAAUCAAACUACAUGAUGGCCUUGCUCAUCCCAGGUCCAAAAAGUCCUGGAAAGGAUUUUGAUUUGUUCAUGGAGCCUCUUGUGGAGGAACUUCAACAGCUAUGGAAGGGUGUUGUCACUCGAGACCUAUAUAGCAGCCCACCAGCUGAUUUCUUUCUGCGUGCUAUUAUAAUUUGGUGCAUCCAUGAUUAUCCGGCUUUGGGCACUAUGUCAGGGCGAACGACACAUGGUUACAAUGCAGGUGUUCGCUGUGACAGGAAUUCGCUGUCAUACGCAAUACUUAGCAAGAUAUGUUACAUUGGACACUGCCGUUUCCUUGCCAAGGACAAGCCGCGUCCUAGAAAAUACCGAAGACAUGUGUUCAAUGCAAAGCAUGAAAACCGUGAUGCGCCAAAGAGGCUCACCACCGAUGAGUUGCAAGUGGAAUUAGAGAAGGUCAGGCAUAUUACACCAGGAAACCAUCCUGGUAAUGGUAGCGGGAAAAGGACGCGUGGCAGGGUAGAAGAGAGAUUAUUGUUUACCCGCAGGUCCACUUUGUGGGACUUGGAGUAUUGGAAAGAUUUGGAUCUGCGUCAUAAUCUUGAUGUGAUGCACAUCAAGAAAAAUAUAUGUGAUAGCAUUAUCGGCACACUUCUUAAUAUUGAAGGCAAGACGAAAGAUACCUUAAAAUCUAGGACUGAUUUGACACACCUGGGUAUCAGAAAGGAUUUGCAGGUGCAAGAUGAAGGUAAACCACGGGAUAUGGCACCAGCUGUGUACGUCUUGGACAAGGUAAAAAGAAAAGAAUUCUGCGAGGUCCUGUCACAUGUGAGAUUCCCACAUGGAUUUGCUUCCAACCUUGAAAGGAGAGUUAGUGCACAUGGAAACAAGAUACAAGGGUUGAAAACUCAUGACUGCCACGUCCUACUUCAAAGGGUUUUACCUGUUAUCCUUAGAGGAUUGGGCUGCCCUGACUUAUACAAAGCAGUUGCAGAGUUGGGACAAUUCUUCAGGGAACUCUGCAGUAGGAAUAUCAGGAUAGAUGCUUUGGAGCGUCUUAGAGACAAGAUACCAACUAUCCUAUGCGACCUUGAGAAGAUAUAUCCUCUAGCCUUCUUUGAUGUGAUGGUGCAUUUGGUUGUUCAUUUACCUGAUGAGGCACUACUUAGAGGUCCAGUACAGUAUGGCUGGACGUACCCUAUUGAAAGGCGGCUAGGGACUUUCAAGGGCUAUGUUAGGAACAGAGCUAGACCCGAGGGUUCCAUUGCAGAGGCCUACUUUGCUACAGAAGCGUCGACAUUCUGCUCAAAAUACAUUGAAACAGCUGAUCAGCUUAGCAAAGAGGUGGGUGAAGACAAUCCCGGGCUCAAUGUUUUCGAUUAUUCUAUUCGAGUUACAGGGAAGAGUCGACAAGAGGACAAACCUAAGGAUUUGGACAAAAUGGUUUGGUAUGUGUUGAAUAACUGUCCUAAGAUACUACCUUAUAUCAAGUAAGUGCAGUACUGCAGCUUAUACAUCGUAAUAUACUAAACUUACAGCACAUUCUUAUAUAUUUAGAUGUUUGACGCGAUCACUAUGUUUUGCAGCAUCUACAAAGAGGAGUUCUGCUGCAAAAUCCAAGAAACAUUGACAAACUGGUUAUGGCAGGAUUUACGAAAUGGUUCAAGAACCAUGUAAACUUUUGAAGUGCACUGUCAGUUUUUUUAAUAUAUUGAGUACAUAAGAUGAUUAGCUUGUCUAUUUUCUAACCAUAGGUUAAGAAGAUGCGGGAGGAUGGCCAGGCAGUUGAUGAUGCCCUUUACUCACUAGCAAUGGGUCCUGAUACUCGGGUAAGACAUUAUGAAUCUUGCAUUGUUGGAGAUGUGCGCUACAACACCCUUGCACGAUACGAAGGCAGGAAGACACAAAACAGUGCCAUCAUGAGCACAGAUACGUAUGACAAAGAGAUAACUGAAAUGUAUGCUAACAUAACAGACAUUGUUCAGUUCCAGUAUAUCUCCAGUUUCGAGGAUCAUCGGUGUGUGGUUCUGUUGUGCUGUCGUUGGUAUAACCUGUUUUCCAGGAUCGCAAAACCCAGAGCUGAUGAUUAUUUCAAAUCCAAUAAUGUCAAGGCGGCGUACUAGACCAACAAGCCUUUUAUUUUGGCAAAUCAAGCAACACAGAUAUUUUUCUUGGAAGACACAUUUGCACAUAUCGAUGACUGGAGAGUAUUGCAAAGGUUUGAGCAGAGGAAUUCGUUUAAUGAAGUUGCACAACAAGAUGAUGCUUACACUGCUCCUGAUGUACAAGAUAACACAGAUGUUCCUAAUAUCUUUGAGAACCAUCACGUCAAUGACGCCGGCGAAAAGAUUGCUUAUCGUGUUGUGGACAUACAAGAGUUGAUCAAGAAGAAGCCAAUGUUCGAGGACGUUAAGGACGAAGAAGAAGAUGACACCAUGGGGAAUUACGAUUCAGACUGAUACACAUGGCGAAGAUGUUGACGCUGCUGCUGCGGAUGAUGAUUACAUUGCUUUUGUCGUAUUUGCCUGUCAGAAGACGUUUUUUUAUCUACUAUGUGAAAUUGUGUUUGCUAUGAACACUGAAACCAGAUGAACAUGUUGUUUAGUAUUUUGCUGUGAGAACAUCACUUGUUAUGUAUGCUGAUUUGUGUUUGGUGAUUGUAUGACAACUAAAACAUGAUGACAUUGUUGUUUAGUUGUACUCAUAUUUGGCUGUGAAACUUGGAUUUGAUGACAUAGUUUGCUGUUGGACUGCAAUUUGCUCGACGUCUUCGAAUGAGAACAAAGCUGACCCGACAGGGCCUCUGCUAUUUAUUUAUUUAUAUGAGCAAAAGGGGAUACCCCCUGAUUUCCGUUUAUAGAAAUCAUUAGAUGUUCACAACACUACGCCCAGCCUGCUACACAGGUUUCAUUCAUUACUAGUUUCAGCAAAGUGCUCAUGUCGUAGCCACUGAAUACAUCAUGAGUGCUACAUACACUGCAAAUAAAGAGACAAUCAUCCUACAGAGCACAUCGAUUUUGCCUAUUAUCUUCACAAGCUCUUUCAUCUCCUCAUUGCUGUCAAGGCCGUUCAGCAGCUGUUGCUUGGCCAUGAUCAGAGGAACUGCAUCUUUAACCUUCUGCUCUGCAUCUUCCUCUUCUGCCGUUCCUUCAGUUACAUGUCCAACACCCCAACCUGCUGGUAUUGGGAUUCCUCGGCUAACCAAAUAAUCAGCGUAGUUGCAUUCCCCCACAUCAGCAGCUUCCCAGAAAUACAAAUCACACGAAUCUUCCCUUUUCUGCACGAAUCAAAUUGGAAGAUCAUCAACCAAACUAUUAAAAAAUCAGCAACUGAAAGCAGCAGAACACUUAAACAUAUUAUUACCCCAUGAUUCGGGCAUUUGUAGAAGACUUGGCCAGGGUUGCGGAUUGUGGUUGAGACGCGACAGAUGACUCUGCGUGAUUUGCAGCAGUGGCACCACACCAAUGGCAACGGGUUGCGAUGAGCAAUCGGCUGUGGUGCGCGUGCCGGCGAGGGUGUGAUGAGACCCACAGGCGAUGGUACGGGUGGCGACUUGGCGCAUAUCUGGUUGUUGCCUGCUGAAAAGCAGGUGGAUGAGCAGCCAGCGGACAUGGUUUCUGCGGCCAGAGCUUCUGAUGCUAGGCAGAGUAAGUAGAGAAGAGGAGAAGCGAACGUUGGAUAUAUCGGUUUCAUUACUUGCAGAGUAGCAUAGCACCAUAUAUAGUCAUAGUCUAGGUUUGGAUACGAACCAGCUACAGGAGCACGUCUUUCUUUUUUCUAAAACUCGGCAACGUCUCUUUACUGGUACACUAGCUUGUUCUGUACGCCUUCCCAAGUCUUUGAUUUUCUUUCCCUUUUUUUUGCGAGGAAGGAAGGAGGACAAAAUUGAGAGUUCCUGGGACUCGAACCCAAGACCUCUCGGUUGAAAACCAAGGGUGCUAGUCACUUAUGUGGCGAACGUUCCCUGUGAGGAGGACGGCAGACGAACGCAUUUUCCUCGCAGUUUUUUCCUAUAUAUAAAAAAGUAUGCUACUUGGUGUCCGCUUAGUCAACAAACGAUUGUGCCAACCUUGACCGUUGGAUUGACAUUCAACGUUUGUCGCAUUUCUUCAAUCUCUUCUUCCUCGAGCCGCCAAAGCCAAACCAGCGCCAGCGGGACCGCCUGCUCCCGCCUCCCACGGCUAGCUUUGAUCUUCCCCGGCUCCUGUUCGUUCCCGUCCGAGGCCUCACCAUCGUCCUCCGCCUUGGUUCGCUCGCCGCGGCGCCACCCUCCGGUGUUGUCAACAUGGUCAACAACCGAGAGGAAUAAGGAGAUGACUGUACAUGGUGAGGAUGACAGUAGGGAACCAGCAGCGCGCACAGUAAUUUUGUUUUUUCGGGACCGAGAUGGGUAUCAACUGGGUUGUGCGGGACCCGUGGCCCAUCUAGCCCAGGCUUUUAUUUCAUAUGUUUAGCAAAUGACCAGCCUAGUUUGUUUUUUUCCUUUCUGAAAAUGGCUAGCCAGCUUUUUUUUGCAGAAUAACCAACGUAGGCCUACUUGCUUUUCUACGCCCUGCUGGGCCGGAAAUCUUUCAAGACGAGGAGGAAUGCAUUUUGCCCAAAAAAUGGGCUAUAAGUAAUAAGAAAUGGGCUAUAAGUAAUAAUAAAUGGGCUGUAAAAUGAAAAAAUACAGCAAACAAGCAAUUAGUUCCAAAAUACUGUUUCUUUCGGAUUUUGAUAUUUUAAAUUUCAUUGUUUUUGUGCGGGUAAAAUUUCAUUGAAUUUAAAUUAAGGUAUAUUUAGAUUUAAAAUUAAUUUGAAUCUGGCUAGAAAUUUCGGGCUGUAUGCUGUUUGGGACAGAUUGGGAGGCUGACUUGUGGGUCUUCUAGGUUGACGUGUACUUUGGCUUUGUCAACUUAGUCCACAAAUGAUUCUCGCAGGAGUGACCGUUGGAUGUUAAUCCAACGGCCGUGCUGCUUCUUCAAUAUCUGAUCUUCUUGCUCCAGCCGCCCAAACCAGCUCCGGUGGGACUGCCUGCUCCCGCCUCCCGUGGCCGGCUGUGAUACCGCACAGGCCGCACCGCCCCACCCUACUUCAUUGCUGGCCAGGCCAUUCCUCUACUCACCCACACCUCCUGUUAUUUUCCGGCGACGGCAGCCAGACCAGUAAACCCUCGUACUCCCCACCGCGUGGGCAACCAUUGUCGAGUCUUCCCCGGCUCCAUGUCGUUCCCUUCCUAGGCCUCGCCGUCGUCCACCGCCAUGGUGCUCUCGACGCGGCCUAGUCAACGUGGUCAACGAAUGACAUCCAUCGGCCAUGGACUGUACGCACAAAAUAAUGAUUCCUCCACCUGACAGCUGGGACCCACCGGAAGGGCCUCUGUAUUUCGCGAAAAAAACGUUCCCCCCGCUGACAUGUCGGACCCACCAGCUAUAUCUUCGCACACAAGGAAGUGCCUCCUUAUUACGCACAAAAAAAUGAAUACCCCCCUGCUAGCUGGGACCCACCAUAGUGGGAGGAUGACUUGUGGGCCAACUAAGUUGACGGGGACGGAGGACUUUGUCAACUUAGUCAAUAUGAACGAUUCUAGCUCCAGUGACCGUACGAUGUCCAUCCAACGGCCGUAGUGCUUCUUCAACCUCUGGUCUUCUUGCUCCAGCCGCCCAAAGCUGCGCCGGUCGUGCCGCAUCCUCCUGCCUCCCGUGGCCGGCUGUGCUGCCGCGGAGGCCUCACCGCCCCCUACUAUUCCCACCGCUGGCCAGGCCCUGCGGCGACGGUAGCCUCACACCGCAGCCGAACCAGUGAACCCUCGUACUCCUCUCCGCGUGGGCUUCCACUGCCGCAUCUUCCCCGGCUCCGGGUCGUCCCCUUCCUAGGCCUCGCCGUCGUCCACCGCCGUGGUGCUCUCGGUGCGGCCUGGUCAACAUGGUCAAGGAAUGACUUCCAUCGGACGUGGACUGUACGUGGAGAGGCUGACAGCUGGGUCCACGGCCGCAGCAAGGAAGUGCCUCCUUAUUACGCGGAAAAUAAUGAUUCCUCCACCUGACAGCUGGGACCCACCGGACGGGCCACAGUAUUUCACGGAAAAAGCGUCCCCCCUGACUGCUGGGACCCACCAGCUUCAUCUUUGCACGCAAGGAAGUGCGUCCGGGCAAAAAAACAAUUCGCCCCCCUGACUGCUGGGACCCACCAGCUACACCUUCGCACGCAAGGAAGUGCGUCCGGGCAAAAAAAACCGAUUCGCCCCCCUGACUGCUGGGACCCACCGGCUACAUCUUCGCACGCAAGGAAGUGCGUCCGGGCAAAAAAAAACGAUUCGCCCCCUUGACUGCUGGGACCCACCAGCUACAUCUUCGCAGGAAAGGAAGUGCCUGAUAGUCGGGACCCACCUAGUCGAAGCGUACGUAGCGUUGUCAUUCUGGUCGCGAACGUGUACGUACAUACUAGUCGAUGUAGAGGCGCGCACGUGUCGUAGUAGAGGCGCGCACGUAGCAUGUACACGUACGUACAGCGGCCAGGGUGCAAGAAAAUACGGCCACGUAUGUGUACAUACGGGCGGGUUCUCGAACGCCUACUCGCGCAUACGUACGGCCAGCGCUCGUGUACAUGGCUGGGUCGGAACGGAGAAACAGCGUCGUCGUCGUGUUCAUGGGGAGGCAACGGAAUGCGUCGUGUUCAUCGGGAGGCAACGGAACGCGUGGGAGCCAACCGGCUGGGUCGGAACGGAAUGCGUGGUCAUGUUCAUCGUGAGGGCUUGGACGGAACAGGCAAUGGAAACGAGGCCUGGCGUACCGCAAAAUGGAGGAAAAUGACCUCCUACGUUCGGAACGGGGUCCUGUUGAUCGGGAGGGGUGUGGCGUACCGCAAAACGGAUGAAACGGACCUCCUACGGUCGAAACGGGGGUCCUGUUGAUCGGAGGGGUGUGGUGUACCGCAAAACGGAGGAAACGGACCUCCUACGGUCGAAACGGGGGUCCUNNNNNNNNNNNNNNNNNNNNNNNNNNNNNNNNNNNNNNNNNNNNNNNNNNNNNNNNNNNNNNNNNNNNNNNNNNNNNNNNNNNNNNAGGCAAUGGAAAUGAGGCCUGGCGUACCGUAGAACGGAGGAAACGGCCUUGUGUUCGACCGGCCACGUUCGAAACGGGAUCCUGUUCAUCGGGAGGGGUCUGGCGUACCGCAAAACGGAUGAAACGGACCUCCUACGGUCGAAACGGGGGUCCUGUUGAUCGGGAGGGGUGUGGCGUACCGCAAAACGGACGAAACGGACCUCCUACUGUCGAAACGGGGGUCCUGUUGAUCGGGAGGGGUGUGGCGUACCGCAAAACGGACAAAACGGACCUCCUAUGGUCGAAAAGGGGGUCCUGUUCAUCGGGAGGGGUGUGGCGUACCACAAAACGGGACUCCACGGGAUACUGUUCAUCUCCACCGUCGACCUCCUCCAGCCUCCACGGGCUACCGUCGACCUCCUCCAGCCUCCACGGGCUCCUGUUCAUCCAGCCUCCACCGCACGCUACUCCACCGACUACUGUUCAACCACCCCUCCACGGGCACCCCUCCACCGUCUACUGUUCAUCCAGCCCUCCACACCACGGGGUCCUGUUCAACCACCCCUCCACGGGAACCCCUCCACCGUCUACUGUUCAUCCAGCCCUCCACACCACGGGGUCNNNNNNNNNNNNNNNNNNNNNNNNNNNNNNNNNNNNNNNNNNNNNNNNNNNNNNNNNNNNNNNNNNNNNNNNNNNNNNNNNNNNNNNNNNNNNNNNNNNNNNNNNNNNNNNNNNNNNNNNNNNNNNNNNNNNNNNNNNNNNNNNNNNNNNNNNNNNNNNNNNNNNNNNNNNNNNNNNNNNNNNNNNNNNNNNNNNNNNNNNNNNNNNNNNNNNNNNNNNNNNNNNNGUUAGCAGCAGUAGCGAAGGAAUCGCUCGAUCAGGUUCAGUUAACAGCCAUCGAUCGAUCACUCCGGUUCAGUAACGCGUAGCCUGCAGUGCAAUCGCUCGGGUUCAGUUAGAGCCCAACGCCUCACUCGGGUUCAGUUAGAGCCAACGCCUCACACACACGCGCGUACGUGUACGAGAGAAACGCGCAUCGCUCGACCCCCGACCUCCCACCGUAACCGGGAACUCCCCAAAAUUUUCCUCCCCCUCGCUUCUACCAAGGUUUUUUCCGUGAUGGACGGCCCAAAGAAUGUCAUGCAGCUGUGUCUCCGGCCCGCCCAGGACGAAAAGCCCAUUUUCUGUCAUGAUUUUUUGUCAUAGAAGUAGGAGCCCACCACAUCUAUGAUGAUACCGGGUUUUGUCACAAUUAUCAUCAUAGAAGUGUCAUAUGUAUGACAGAAAAAAAAUUCGUUCGGCCCAAAAUGCCACGGAUGUGUCUUUUUUUUGUAGUGGUGGUUUCCUUGUCCAAUCCUCACCAUUCGGAAAACACGCUGUCCGCCCUUGUGCAGCCAUUGGGAGCACCAAUGUGGUGGCUAACGGUUGUGUAUGGACCAUGCUCGGAGGAUGCGGCCAAAGUGGAAUUCAUGAGGGAAUUGGUGGAGGUCCGGGAGCUCUUGGCUGGCCCGUGGUUGUUGGUCGGCGACUUCAAUCUCCUAGUCAACCCGGAGGAUAAGAACAAUGACUCUGUUAACCGCCGCAUGAUCAGCCGUUUUCGAUCCAAACUGAAUAGGUUGGAGCUCAAGGAGAUAUAUUUGAAUGGGAAACGCUAUACGUGGUCCAACGAGAGGUCUAGGGCCACGUUGGAAAGGAUCGAUCACGUGUUGGUGACGAAUUGUUGGGAGGAUCUAUACCCUUCCAGCUUCCUAAUGGCAUUGAGUUCUGCGGUCUCGGAUCACUGACCACUCUUAGUGGCCAUGCACGCGGACUUCCAAUAUGGGAAACACUUCAUGUUUGAAGCCUUCUGGCCCAAGGCUCCAGGUUUCAUGGAAACGGUGCAGGAGGCGUGGCACUCCAUAUCAUCGGAUGGCAACCCCUAUAUGGUGUUGAACAAUAAAUUGCGGGCCACCGCAAAGAACCUCCAACGGUGGAACGACAAGUGGAUUGGCAAUAUACGUAUGCAGAUCACCAUUGCCCUGGAGUUGAUACUACGUCUUGACGUGGCCAUGGAGACAAGACAGCUGAGCCACGAGGAGUUUGAGCUUCGUAAAGUGCUGAAAAGAAAGCUCCUGGGUCUCUCGUCCUUACAAUGGUCGAUCGCAAGGGAACGCUCAAGGUUGUUGCAUCUGAAGGAGGGGGACGCGAAUACGGAGUUCUUUCAUCGCCAUGCCAGGCACCAACAACGGAAGAAUGUGAUCAUGUCACUCCGGCAAACCGAUGAGGUGGUCUCGGGCCAUGAGAGGAUUGCGGACGUUGUGGACUCAUAUUAUGGGGCAUUGUUCGGUUCCACCACGGGCCGCCAGUUCAUGAUCGAUCUGGCACAACUGGACUUACCCUACAUGGACUUGCAUCACUUGGAGGAACCAUUCACGGCUGACGAAGUAAUCAAAGUGAUCAAAAGCAUGCCUCUUGACAAGGCACCCAGGCCAGAUGGCUUUACGACCCGGUUCCAUGCGCUGUGCUGGAAUAUCAUCAAGGACGACUUCAUGAAUGCCCUCGUGGCAUUCUAUCAUGGGGACAUGCGUGGAUUAGCAUCACUUAACAAAGCUCUAGUGGCUCUGUUGCCAAAGAGGGAGGGAGCCGAGGAGUUAAAGGAUUACCGCCCGGUGAGUUUGGUGCAUAGUGCGGUGAAAAUUUUCGACAAGGUGUUGGGGUGCCGCCUUGUCGAAGACCUACCACAUUUGGUGCGCCAGCAUCAAGGCGGUUUUGUCAAGGGACAGCUCCUUCACGACAACUUUAUGCUAGCGCACUAUACGGCCCGCCGCCUCCAUGCCUUGAAGCAGUCGGCUUUGAUGGUCAAACUGGACAUAUCCAAAGCGUUCGACACGGUGAAGUGGCCUUUCCUCCUAGAAGUUCUCCAUCGCAUGGGUUUUGGCAGAAAUUGGAUAUCCUGGAUCGUGGGACUUUUGUCCACCUCCACAAUGCGUAUCAUGGUUAAUGGGGUGCCCAGGGCCACGAUCUUCAACUGUUGUGGCCUUCGUCAGGGUGGACCGUUAUCGCCGAUGUUGUUUAUCCUUGUCAUGGAGCCCCUACAUCACCUCUUUAAGUUGGCCUCCGCUUCUGGCCUGCUGGCGCCGCUGGCACAUGUGGGAUGUGAACACCGCAUGUCUAUUUUUGCGGACGACGUGAUUAUCUUCCUCAAGCCGGUGGACCUCGACCUGGUUACGACAGCAAGGAUCUUACAAAUGUAUGGCAUGGCAUCAGGGAUCCGGGUUAACAUGCACAAAACGUCGGCCAUGCCCAUCAGGUGCUCACAGGAAGAGGUGGCACGUCUGGAAGGCGCUCUGGGGUGCCGCAUUGGGUCCUUUCCAUGCAAAUAUCUAGGCCUCCCCCUAGGCCUUAAGAAACCAUCUGCGGCGCAACUUAGCGGCCUGGUGGUGCAGUUGGCUGCGCGCCUGCCCACCUGGAAGGCGGCGACCCUGCCAAAGAGUGGCAGGCUUGUUCUGGUCUUAUCGGUGCUCUGUUCGAUCCCUAUACAUUCGAUGCUCGCCUUGGACUUACCGGCAAAGACGAUAGCGGCCAUAAACAAAAUAAUCAGAGGCUUCCUCUGGUGUGGCAAUGCUCAGGCUAACGGUGGGCACUGCUCAGUAGCCUGGGAGGACGUAUGCACGCCAAGAUGGGCGGGAGGCCUUGGGAUCCCGUGCCUUAGGUGGCUUAACAUUGCCAUGCAGGCCCGUUGGGCCUGGUUACAUCGGGUGGACAGCGAUCGACCUUGGACGGAGUUCAAGCUUGUCCUCCCCAAGGAAUCCCUAGCAUUAGUCGCAGCAGCUACCAAGGUGACGCUUGGAAGCGGGAUGGAAACUCUCUUUUGGGAAGAUCGUUGGCUACAUGGACAGCGAAUUCAGGAGUUUGCCCCUGGAAUCUAUGAAAGGAUCUCAAAACGAGCAAGGACCACGCGCACAGUACAUGAAGCCGUUUCUCUUGGCUCCUGGACUAGGGACAUCAGCCCCGCCCUGGCCUAUGAGGCUCUGCUGGACUAUCUGGAGAUUUGGCGGCGACUACAAGGGAUCUAGCUCCAGGAGCACGUCCCCGACGCCAUUACUUGGGCCUGGGAAACGAAUGGACAAUUCUCGGUACGGUCUGCCUACGCGGCAUGGUUUGUUGGUAGGGAGGUCGCGCCGACGGCGGAUUUUUCCUGGUGAUCUCGGGCUCCUCUCUGGUGCCGCUUCUUCACCUGGCUAGCUAUGCGAAACAGAUGCUGGACAUUAGACAGACUUGCCAGUCGCGGCCUCCCGCAUCAGGAUGCUUGCCCGUUCUGCGACCAGGAGGACGAAACCACUGAUCACAUUCUUCUAACAUGCGUGUUCGCUAGAUCAGUUUGGAGAACUCUGUGCUCGGCCUUGGGGAAGCCGCAGUGGUACCCAACGGCCCAAGACAACCUAAAGGAUUGGUGUGUAGCACGAACGUCGAGUGUCCACAAGCCGAAGGAGAUACGGGCGCUCCUCACCCUAGUGCUUUGGGAGUUGUGGAAGCACGGGAAUGCCAUUGUGUUUGACGGCGCUGCUCCAUCACUUCAGCAGGUAGUUGGGCGCAUCGUCACGGAAGGUAAGGCUUGGCAGCAGGCGAGCUUAUUGAAGGGCGAAGUGGAUAGCAUAUUUGAUCUUCUGGUAGGGUGGGUAGGGAGUGAGUAGUCCCGUUCGCCGCGUUUUGUAGGUGGAACGGUGGAUUGUACAUUACGUGUUGUUGUUACUGUAGCGCUUAAAACUCUGUAACAACAUUGGUGGUUCGGGUUCUUACCCCUCCCUUCUAUAAAAGAUGAUACGCACACUCGUCCGUAUUCGAGAAAAAAUAAUAAUAGCAUACAACUAAUCCCCAAAAAAAACUGCUAGAUGUGCAGCACCGGCUGCACAACCACUCAAAGUCCUAGCUAGUGGCUAGUGAGGAAGCACAUAUUCCACAUACAAAUAUACUCGUAAGGUACACGUGCAUUGCAUCCAUGAGCUUUGUAACAAAAUUACCAAUGGAUAUCACACUAUAGUAUGUAAAUAUGUAAGUUUGGAGUUAUAUAUGCAUGAUGUGGAUGUUCAUUUAAUUCUUGUAGUAGUUCAUCCCAAUCAAAAUCAAAUUAAUGCUACAAAAUAUCAAACACCAUGGUAUAAUACUACACAAAACUCAUCUGAGUAUAUAUGUAGUACAUUUGUCUCUAGGCAUCAUGUAUUGCACCUUUUUAUUUCUUAAUUUUUUUUACUAGAGGCGUACCUGUUAUACCACACACCAAUAGUAAUUGGUUCAGUUUUUUUUUACUUAUGAACAGAUUGGUCUGGCUACUAGUGGCGUGUCUUUUACAUGGCACACCACUAAUAAGAUGUAGUUAGUGGGUUCCAUUUAAUGCAGCACGUCAUUGGUUCAAUUAUUUAUUUAUUUACUCCUUUAUGUUGAUGAUAUGCUAAUUGUUGCAAAGAGUAUGCCAGAUAUUGAUGAACUAAAGAAGCAAUUGAGUAAUGAAUUUGAGAUGAAGGAUUUAGGUGCAGCAAAGAAAAUACUUGGUAUGGAAAUAUCCAGAGAUAGACCAUCUGGAGAAGUAUAUCUAAGUCAGAAGGGAUACAUUGAUAAAGUUUUUCGUCAUUUUAAUAUGCAUAAUGCCAAGCCGGUGAGUACUCCGUUAGCUGCACACUUCAAAUUAUCAUCAGCUUUAUGUCCGAAGUCAGAUGCCGAUAUUGAGUACAUGUCUAGAGUUCCAUAUUCGAGUGCAGUUGGUUCACUUCUGUAUGCCAUGGUUUGUUCUCGUCCUGAUUUAUCAUAUGCAUUGAGUGUUGUCAGUAGAUACAUGGCAAAUCCUGGAAACGAGCAUUGGAAAGCAGUUCAGUGGAUUUUCAAAUACCUAUGUGGUACUUCUAAUGCUUAUUUACAGCUUAGGAAAACUAGAGAUGGACUUAUUGGUUUGUUGAUUCUGAUUUUUGUUGGUGAUUUGGAUAAGAGAAGACCACUCACGGGUUAUGUUUUCACCAUUGGUGGUUGUGCUGUGAGUUGGAGAGCAACUUUGCAUUCUGUUGUGGCGUGUUCCACUACUGAUGUCGAGUAUAUGACUAUUUCUGAGGCAUGCAAAGAAGCUAUCUGGUUGAGAGGUUUAUACAAUGAGCUUUGUGGAGAUUCAUCUUGCCCUACCAUAUUUAGUGAUAGUCAAAGUGCUAUAUAUUUACAGCGAAUCCAAUGUAUCAUGAGAGAACAAAGCACAUUGAUGUCAGAUAUCAUUAUAUUCGAGAUAAGUACUCAUGAUAACCCUGUUGAUAUGAUGACAAAGCCAGUUCCUACCAAUAAGUUUGAGCUUUGCUCAGACUUAGUUGGUAUUUCUCACUAGUCCUAUCGACUUUAAGCACAAGGUGUUUAUGCUGAUUUGGAUGGAGUUAUUUACUUUCUUCGACUACUGGAGGAAAUUUGGCUCAAGGUGGAGAUUGUUAAAUUGUGAUCCAAAUUCUACCGUAUUGGACUAGACGUAGUACAUAUGGUGUGGGCCUUUGCGUUGGUACCGACACGUACGAGUACAACUCGUUUACUUGUCCUCCAAGGACUCUUGUAUAUUUCCCUCAUAUAUACCCGUGUAGUCGCACCUAAAGACGCUCUCUCGACUCAUGCUUGCAAUACUCCUCAAUCAUAGUGAUUGCGGCUUCGUGCGUCCGUGGUUUUCUCCCGCAAGGGUUUCCGCGUAAAACUCGGUGUCUCCCGUGUCUCGUUUGAUCUCGUUUUAUCUAACAACGUACUCGAUUAUGUCUACUACAAACCGCCAGGCUACCGCAAGGUGACAACGGAUAUGUUGUACGCAAUGACCGAGAGUAAGGGCAUGUACAAUGCUGCUAUCUUAGGAGUGUCACAUAGAUAAAUGUUGAGAUGAAGGAGAGACAAAUUAUAAGAAAAUGUUUGUCUUCUCUUAUUUAAGAGAUGUUCUUUUAGCACAAUAUGUCCCACCACGCGUUUAGGAAUUGCUAAUUAUUAAAGAUAAGGCUAAGAAAUAAUCCGUUAUAGACAACAUUUUAUUGUCAUCUCUAAAUUACAUGUAAGAAAUAAUCAUGUCUUAUCAACCAUUGUACAUGCCCUAACAAUCAUCUCGGCAUGUCCGAGUUAUGGUACCUCUUCCGCUUAACGUCUCGCGCCGGUCUGGGUGAGCAGACUACCACCCCCCUGGCGUCUUGGCCGGCCGCGAGAAGUGUCUCACCCACCAGGACGCUCUCCACGAGAUGGACGCUGUUCAUGGUGUAAUUUGGCUAGUUAAUGUAUGAUGAGCCAAAUUGAUUCAAUGAUUUAUCAACCUGGUCGGUUGAUGCAUUUUUUAAGUAUUGCAACAGGAAUUUUCAUGGACAACAAAGAUGCAAGUUCUAAGAAGGAUCGGAUGCUAAGCUAAACUAAGGGCGUGGAGUGCAUGGUCUAUAUAGCUACGUGUGGGGAGAAGUAUGCUUAGUGCUGAUGGCUAUUAUCCAUGUUGAUUUGCGACUUUGUCGGAGUAUUUUAUUAUUUUCUUUGAAGGCUCAAGGUAUUUGUACAAGUAUGCUUAGAACUUGGGCUACUAUAUUAUCUGGUGAUAGCGACGUGGCCAGAAUAGUUAAUUGAUAAGGCAAGGUGUGUAUACGGUCAGAAGGGAUCGCCAUGCAGGUUGGCCUAAUGUAAAACGUCAAGUACUAUACAUGGUAGCCCAAUUAGGAUGACAUGAUUAGAUUCUAAUCGGUUUGAUUCUGGAAUUCAACUCGUGUAUGCCAAGUCCUGCCUUGUAUACGUCAAAGUCCAGCGUGCCUUAUAUAUAAGGCCAUGGCCGAUUGAAAUACCCCCAACAAUCAAUCUAUCAACAAAUACAUUACUUUUUCACGUAUGUCUUUUUCUUUAUCAUUUUUCUCUGCCGAGCCCUAGCAGCCCUAGGGUUUGGUAAUCUUUGCCGUUUUGCGCUGAAAAGCGGCCGUCCCUCCUCUACGAAAGCGAGGGGAUCUUUGUUGCUUUGCUCGUAAAGCAAUCGUUCGUCGUCACAAAAGCAUGACAAAUAUCCUGGUGUUGCGCGGCGAUUUUGCGUGCCAUCACAAUUGGCAACUCCGCUGGGGACGGGAAGAAAAAGAGGCACACGAUGAGUACGGAGUCCAGGAACGGGAGCGACAUCGACCCGGAGAACGUCAUCGCCGUCACACUCGACGAUCUAUCUGAAGAUGAUCGGCGCGAGCUUGAACAAGAGCUUAAGAAAGAGAUGGCCGAGCGACUAAAAUUGAAGUUGACUGGAUACUGCAAGACAAGGAUCGGCGUCGUCAAGAAGGUACAUGUGUCGAACCCUUCACAUUCGAUCAACACCGAGGUAAAAAAGUCAACCGAAGAAAUUUCCCAUCUUAUUGAUAUGUGCGUAGCUACCAAGUAUGAUUCUGAUGUGAAAACUACGACACACACAAUUACUCAAUCAGUAGCUAAUAGAAUUGAAGAAUUUAAGGAGCAGCUUCACAAAGAUCUUGAAAAUAUUUUACCUAGUCAUGUUCGGUCGUUAGUGCUGCAAAUCAACGAUAAUUAUUCUGAGAAAAUACCGAUUGAGAAUAAUGGCUUCAUUAACUUUCCUAGUAAUAAUCAUACACCUGGAGCAUCGGCUAAUAACAUUGUGCAGCCCCAUGUUCCUUCAAAUAGUGAUCAAGGUGGCCGGAACUAUGAGAGCAGUUCGGCUAAUAAUUUUAUGCCUAGCAUAGCUGCUCCUAUUGUCUCAACUUUGGUUCCACAAAAUCACAACAGCAAUAACCGAAGUGCUAGUUCUAAUUCUAUUUUGCAACAACUUCUUUAUCCAACUGUAGAAUAUAGUACACCACCGCUAUUGACUGUCAGUACCGGGAUUCCGUGCGGGCCGGUACCCGAUUCAUAUUUUAAUGAGUCUCCGUUGCAAGCAUCACAAGCUCAAAUUUCUUUGCCGGAGUUUCCAUCACGUGCUAGCGUUCCAUCUGCUCCCCAAAAUAGUUCUCUACAUCCGAAUGAUAGUUUUAAGGAUAAGCUUGCUAGUAUACUAAGAGAAUUCGGUUUAGAACCUAAGAGUAAAGCACGUGCAUAUCAAAAACCAUACCCUGAUUACUUUGAUUCGACGGCUUAUCCUCGCGAUUUUAGAAUUCCUGAAUUUGUUAGGUUUAUAGGGGAAGAUGGUAGAUCCACUUUCGAGCAUAUCGGACAAUUUUUAGCCCAAUGUUGUGAUAUCGGCACAUCGGAUGUUUAUAGGAUUAAAUUAUUUCCGUUGUCUUUGUUCGGUAUUGCAUUUACUUGGUUUACAUCGCUUGCUCCUAAUUCUAUUUCAACAUGGGCACAAUUGGAGCAAAAAUUUCAUGAGUACUUUUAUAGCGGUGAAACAGAACUUCGGCUUUCAGAUUUAACUAUGGUUAGGAAGAAAUAUAAUGAGCACGUUCAUGAUUAUAUUAUGAGGUUUAGGGAUGUAAAAAACCGAUGUUUCAGCUUGACCAUAGCCGAAAAGGAUUUAGCCGGUCUUGCCUUUUCGGGUCUUCUCGCUCAUAUUAAGGAUAAACUAGAAGGGCGAGAAUUUUUAGAUGUUAAUCAAGUUUUCCAAAAGGCUUUGGCGCAAGAAAACUGGACUAAGGGGAUUAAACAAUAUAGCUGGUUUGAAGAUAAUAUUGAUAAUGAGGAGGAUAAUCAUGUAGGUAAUGCCUUCGAUUAUGAUAGUAAUUCGGCUAGUAAAGUUGACGUUAAUAUAUGUGUAGCCGAAUGGAUUCCAGCGCCAAAGUCAAAACCCUUUGCAUGUUCUACUUUGAAACCCACACCUGCUAGAAGAGAUGAAACUAAAUACACUUUUGAUGUUAGUAAGUGUGAUAGAAUUUUUGAUAUGUUACUACAAAAUAAAUUAAUUAGAGUGAGAAAGGGUCAUGUAAUUCCACCUACAGAAGAGUUGGGUAGGAGAGCUUAUUGCAAGUGGCACAAUUCUUUCUCUCAUGCUACUAAUGAUUGUAACAUGUUUCUUCAACAGGUGCACUCGGCCAUUAAUGAAGGACGAUUGACGUUUACAGAAAGUUCUAAGAUGAAGCUCGAUAGUGACGCUUUCCCUAUCAAUGUAGUCGAGCUUGAGAGUAAGAAAAUUCUUAUUCGGUCGGAUCAGACCGAAUCCGCAAGAAAGAAAAAUGUUGUUGAUGAUAAUGCUUCUCCAAGGACGAUCAAACAAAAAAUCCAGAAGUAGGAGUUUGGAAAGUCAAUGGAAGAAGGAAACAAGCUCCAAGACCAAAGCCGUCAGUUAGCAUGUUGUUGGAAAACUACACCUCACGCAAGACCAGCAAUGUGUUUAACCGGCUUGGAGAUAAUAAACGUCUUAGAUCUCCUUCUGGACCUGGCAGUCAUGAGCAAUGGCAAAGAAAUUUAUAUGACCAGCAGCCCUAUAUUGCAAUGGAGCCGACGUAUUGGGGUUGUGCACCUCCUAUGUACCCGCAGUUUCCUCCAUGGGGUUUUAAUCCUUGGGUGCCAUACCCUACAGUGCCAGGUUAUUUUCACCCAAAGUGGGUUCCGCCGAGGCCUUUGUUCAGAGCAGACAUACAUGAGAAAAGGGCUCCGCUCAAUGAGGCAGGUAGAUCAUGUGAUGCAAUUGUUGUCCAAAGGGACCGGUCAUUGGUACGCAGUGCAGAUGGUGAAGUUCAUAUAGGUGGUCAAAAAUUUAUGUGGGUGCCGAUCAAUCGUGGAAGUGAUGCAAAGGCACAUGAUGGGACUGUGCGUGGCUGCACCAAGAUUAGCGCAAUAAAAGAUAAUAGUUUACACAAUGAUUUGUAGCCUAGUGUGCAGACACAUGUAGACAAGAAAAUUGUAUGUACUAGUGAGUUGGUUGAUGCAUCUGCUGAUGAAUUUACUAGAGACAAUGGGAAAAUUGAAGCCAUAGGUACAGAAGAGAAUAGUGAUGGCGUGAAGUUGCACCAAACCGUCCGACGUAAUCAGUUUGAAAAGGAAACUAAUUUUGGACAGAUCAAAGAAUUCAUUGUAUCCUCAUGUACUAAUCAACGGUCUAAAUCGGCAAGCUCAUAUGUUGAUUUAUUCAUGGGAGGUUGUGGCCCAGGAGUGUCCAGAAAUUUCAAAUCUAGCACUAAUUUGGAUUUGAGCAAUGUACGCGGCCAGAAAUUUAAAGCUAGUAAUGGACAUGAUCAGCAGAGAAGUAUUUCGGCCAGAGAUAAAAUAUUUGCCAUAAAAGCAGAAGUACGUCAGUACAGGCCGAGAGACUCGGGUUGCAACAGAAUUAAGUCGGCUGCACCAGAGACUAAAUCAAGACCUCGGUGGUGUCCAACGGGACUCACACACACUCAGAAACGACGUGUGCAGAGACUACGGGCAUUUGAAAUGGAGGAAGAGAUAGUCGAGAAGAAGCGCUUGUUCGAUCAGGAAAAACCAAUGGUGCCGAAAAUGACAUGGAGGGAGAAGCACAUUGUGGGGGAGAAGUUGCCCAAAGCUCCCAACGGAAAAUAUUAAAAAAAGUAUUGUCAUAGCAUGUUCAAGAAAACAUGAGAUAAUGUGGCCGAUAUAAUUUUUGAAAUAUCGCCCUAAGCAACUAUAUGGCUAAUGAAGUUAUCAACAUUGUCGUAAGGAAUAAUAUGUUUUUGGUGAAUACAAUUAUACCAAAAACAGGGGGGCAUGUGUUCAUGAUGUAAUUUGGCUAGUUAAUAUAUGAUGAGCCAAAUUGAUUCAAUGAUUUAUCAACCUGGUCGGUUGAUGCAUUUUUUAAGUACGGCAACCGAAAUUUUCAUGGACAACAAAGAUGCAAGUUUUAAGAAGGAUCGGAUGCUAAGCUAAACUAUGGGCGUGGAGUGCAUGGUCUAUAUAGCUACGUGUGGGGAGAAGUAUGCUUAGUGCUGAUGGCUAUUAUCCAGGUUGAUUUGCGACAUUGCUGGAGUAUUUUUAUUAUUUUCUUUGAAGGCUCAAGGUAUUUGUACGAGUAUGCUUAGAACUUGAGCUACUAUAUUAUCUGGUAAUAGCGACGUGGCCGGAAUAUUUAAUUGAUAAGGCAAGGUGUGUCUACGGUCAGAAGGGAUCGCCAUGCAGGUUAGCCUAAUGUAAAACGUCAAGUACUAUACAUGGUAGCCCAAUUAGGAUGAUCUGAUUAGAUUCUAAUCGGUUUGAUUCUGGAAUUCAACUCGUGUACGCCAAGUCCUGCCUUAUAUACGUUAAAGUCAAGCAUGCCUUAUAUAUAAGGCCAUGGCCGAUUGGAAAUACCCCCAACAAUCGAUCUAUCAACAAAUACAUUACUUUUUCACAUGUCUUUUUUUUUAUGAUUUUUCUCUGCCGAGACCUAGCAGCCCUAGGGUUUGGUAAUCUUUGCCGUUUUGCGCUGAAAAGCGGCCGUCUCUUCUCUACGAAAGCGAGGGGAUCUUUGUUGCUUUGCUUGUAAAGCAAUCGUUCGUCGUCACGAAAGCACGACAAAUAUCCUGAUGUUGCGCGGAGAUUUUGUGUGCAGACGCUUUCUCCAUCGACGCCGUCGCCGGACUCUUCGCCAAGACCGGAUUCGGACCUGGGACAUCGACGUAAUCGUGGUCAACGUCAACAUGUUCUGCCCGCAACCUUGCCUCGCCUCGCGGAUCACGCACCGCUACGGCAUGCGCCACGACGUAGUGGCGUACAACGUAUCUCGGGCAUGGGCUACAACGCCCCGCUGGUCUCGUUGAAUAUCGUCUUGAACGUCAUGCGGGCACGGUCGCCGCGCCCGGUGCUUGCGCUGGUGCUGUCGACGGAGGUGCUCUCGCCUGGAAACUACCUGGGCACGGACAGGUCCAUGAUGCUGGGACUAUGCCUUUUCCGCUUCGGCGGGGCAGCGGCGCUGCUCACCAGCGACCCCGCGCUCGGCGGGCGCGCCAAGAUGAAGCUAUGCCGCCUCGUGCGCGCCAACGUCGCCGCCAACGACGAUGCGUACUCCGCCAUCUUUCAGCGCGAGGACGCACACAACAUAACCGGGUUCAGCAUCAACAAGACCCUCCCAAAGGCUGCCGUCCGAGCUUUCGCCGCCAACCUGAAACGCCUCGUCCCUUACAUCCUCCCUGCUAGGGAGCUCCUCCGGCUUGCCGCCAGCUUUACGUGGCAGAAAAUUAAGCGACGCAAGCGAGUGAAGAUCGAUGUCAACUUAAAGACCGGCGUCGACCAUUUCUGCCUCCACUCAGGCGGGGUCGCGGUGAUCGACGCCGUGAAGAAGAACUUCGGGCUCGAGGAGGCAGACGUGGAGCCGUCGAGGAUGACGCUGCACCGCUGGGGAAACACGUCGGCCAGCAGCGUGUGGUACGUGCUUGCGUACAUGGAGGCCAAGGGGAGGCUCAAGAGAGAGGACAGGGUGCUCAUGGUGACCUUCGGAUCGGGCUUCAAGUGCAACAGCUGCAUGUGGGAUGUGAUUCGCGAUCUGAAGGACAUGGGUGCGUGGGCCGACUGCAUUGAUGAGUACCCGCUGGAGAGCACAGCCAAUCCGUAUAUGGACAAGUAUAGCUGAAUGAUAAAUGACAACGCUGAUGACGAUUCCACGUUGCCUCUGUUGUAAACCACGUGGACGGCGCGUACGUCAUUUACGGAUCACAAGUGCGGUGAAUAAGAGCAUGGGAACUUCUCUUCCUCUGAUUAUAUAUAGCAGUAUACUUGAAAAAUUAUCACAGUGACACUCACAACUGCGAGUGCAUCUUCUUUAGAGUAUCAUUAUGGAAUAUGUCUGCGUGUAUAAUAUUUAUGUUUUCAGAGGUACUGAGAAAAUAUAUUUCAAUUUAUAUGGCAGUAUGAACACCGAAAAUGUUAAAUAAAAUAUGAGAUGGGCAGAAAAUAUUUUGUAUCAUUUUAGUUUGUGGGAAAAUGAUAGCAUAGAAGUAAUCCCAAACAAAAACCAGCUAGCUGUGCAGCACCAGCUACACAGCUACUCAAAAGUCCUGGCUAGUGCGCGCAAAAAAAAGAACUCCUGGCCAGUGAGCAAGCACAUAUUCCACAUCCAAAUAUACUACUCCAUCCGUUUCUAAAUAUAAGUCUUUGUAGAGAUCUCAAUUCAAAAUACAUACGUAUGUGUAUAGACAUAUUUUAGAGUGUAGAUUUACUCAUUUUGUACCAUAUGUAGCCCCUUACUGAAAUAUCUAAAAAGAUUUAUAUUUAGAAACGGAGGAAGUAGUAAGGUAAACGUGCAUUGCAUGCAUGAGCUUUGAUAACCAAAUUACGAAUGAAUACCACAUUAUAGCAUGUAAAUCUGUAUGUUCUUUUUUUGUGAGGAUGCAAAUCUGUAUGUUCGGAGUUAUAUAUGCAUGAUGUGAAUGUUGAUUUAGUAGUUCAUCCCAUUCAAAAUAAAAUUAAUGCUAGCACAAAAUAUCAAAGACUACAUGGUACAGUAUGAUACUACACAAAACACAUGUGAAUAUAUGUAGCAGAUUUGUCUUUAGGUAUCUAAUAUUACAGUUUUUAUAUUUUUCAACAAAUUGUAAUUUACGCUAGCGGCAUGCCUAUUAGCGUGGGAACAGAUUAGUCUAGUUACUAAUGGUGUGUCCUUUACAUGGCACAUCACUAAUAAGAUGUUAUUAGUGUCGUUCUCUUUAAAGUCGCACACCACUGGUAUUUUGCCCAGUUACUACUUACCAGUCGCAUUUGAAAUUAUGGCCGUGCCACUAAUAGUUUUCACCUAUCAGAAUUGAGAUAGAUGCCUAUCGGAAUCAGUAAAGUUACUAAGCUCCCAGGAAUUGGAGCGCUUAGUGAGAUUGCAGGUUCCCUGAAAAAAAAAAAGAUUGCAGGUUUAGUUUUGCUUCUUUUCUCCGAUGGUGUGUGUUUGCACAGCUCGAUUUGGCUAGCUACAAUUCGUCGGAGCUGGUCAAAGCUGGGCCGGCCUGGUCGAACGGGCUACAGUUAGUCGGUAGUAUCUUUGAAAGAAAGCCUGCGUCCUCGCAACACACUGUUUCUUUUCCUCCGUCGCUGCGCUCACACUAGUAGAAAAAAGGUUUAAUGUGAAACUCAUUAGUGCCGGUUUGUAAUUGAACCGGCACUAAUGUGACCAUUAGUGCCGGUACUAAAGAGGUGGUGGCCUUUAGUACGGGUUGGUGGCUCCAACCGGUACUAAAGACCCCCCGUUUAAUAUCGGUUGGAGCCACCAACCGGUAUUAAAGGUGGUGCGCUGCCACCCGCAGUGCACAAUGUUUAGUCCCACCUCGCUAGUUGAGAGGAGCUCGCACCGGUUUAUAAGCCCCGCCGCGGCUACCGUGUCGAGCUCCUCUGUAAGCUGGCCUUUGUGGGCCUAUUGCAAGUCUUCUGCCCUGUGGGGCCUACUGGGCCGUACGGGCCUGCAUCCUGGCCCAACUAGAGAUUGGGUUUCUAGUCAUAUGCAGGCCGUGCCGGCCCAGUAGGCAGGCUGUCCCCACUCUUUAGUGCCGUCGGCUGGAGUGGACGGCGCCUACUCCUUCAUGCCUCCUGCCUUCCUCCCUCGCAUCCCCUCCUCACACCCGCCUAACGCUCGCCGCCCACCCAGCUCCGUCCACCACCGCACAUCUCCUCCCCGGCUACACCACCUUGCCCGCGGGAGGCCGGCGAGCCCCUCACCGUGCGCCGUGCCGCCGACAAGAAGCGUUGUGAUGGCGCUGGACAGGGACGUCCACCAUUUGCAGGCUCGGCUGCCUUCCUCAAGCCCACCAUGGUCGCAUCCCCUCCCCUCACCCCCACCUACUCGGAUCUCUCUUUUCCCAAUCUCUGUCUGAUUCUAUUGUUAUCCUCGCGGACUAAUUUCAGAAAAGUAGAUCUUAAUUUCGAGCAAAAUCAUGGGCAAUUUGGAGGCCUAUACUUAUUUGGUUCAUUCAAGCUAUGGAUUGUGGUGAGCUCAUGGUAUUUCUAGAUGUUGUCAAAGGAGUUUAAUCUUCAUUUUUAUGUGUCCUCCCUCCGGAAGAAGAGGUACUAGAUUUCAUCUGUAUUUAUGUUGCCAUAGGAUUUUCAUUCUAAAGAGCAUGUGUGGCAGGGGGUUCUUCUCGGCUGCCUCGGAGGCUCGAACUCAAUACUCGAGCUCCUGCACCUACAGCGCCAUGUACCGAUGCAUGACCUCAGUGCCACCGGCGGUGGCAUCGCAGAGUCUAGGUAAUGACUCCUUGACCAUCUCCGCCUCCUGCUCUUUGAAUUGUAUACUGCAUAUUGUUUACUGCUGCUCUUCGACUUGUACUUUAUAUUGUUUACUGCCGCUCUUCAAGUUGUACUGUAUAUUGUUUACUGCUGCUCUUUCAGUAUUAGUGUAGUGGCAAGAAGCCAUGAACUGGAAAAAUAAUGACAUCUGUGUAUAGAGAAGGGAUUAAUAAUAGUCUCCUUUUGUACUAAUUUUUUGCAGUACUUAUUUGGAGCAUUGGGUUCAAUGUUUGUGGCUGUCACAUUAUGAAAGCCAAGAACUGGAAAUUUAUGUUCUUUAUGUGACACGAUAGUUUGUUGUUACAUUUUCAACCUUUUCUAUUUUGGAUAUGUAUAAUUGCAAUCCUCAAUGUAUAACUGCCGGUCAGUUCUGGAGUUUGCUGAUAGGAGCAGCAAGCAACAAUAGGCAACCAACAGGAUCUCUUGUAUGAAGAUGCGCAGGUUUUCUUCAGUUACUGCAGAUUGCAAGCAUGAGUGACAUCGUUAAGUAAGUAGAUGAUUGGAUUUUUGCCUUUGAGCUGGGCUACACUCAGUAAAAGAGCCUUCUAUCAAAAGAAGAUGUGUUACAGAUGUUCCAGUAUAUUCCUCUGUUUUUGGAAUCGAGAAAAGAGCUUUAUGCUGAGAGUCUACUUGUUGUAGAAGAAACUUCCAUUAACAACUUUUUUUGCGGGAUGUUAACAACUAUUUGAAAUAAAAGGUACUCUGAUAAAAUAACUCCUGUCAAGAUUAUAUAAAGGACGGAUUGCAAUUCUAGAACAUAUGUUCUGUUGCUAACUGACAGUGCUUUCAGAAGUAAUUUUUAUUUAGGACAUUAACUCUCAAGGUGACUCAUCAUUGGUCUGGGUCAAUUUCAAGUGCAUAAAUAUCUGUAAAUUUUGCCGUUUAUAUAGUUGAAUAAGAAUAAUCCAUCUACUUACACUAGUAGAAAACAGGGCUUUCGUUCGGGCCUGGCCAGCCCAUUAGUCCCGGUUCUGCACGAACCGGGACCCAUGGGGUGCAUUAGUCCCGCUUCGUGAGCCCAGGGGGCCGGCCGGGCCACGUGGGCCAUUGGUCCCGGUUCAAGGCACGAACCGGGACCAAUGCGCCUCGCCCCUGGCCCAUGACCAUUAGUCCCGGUUUGUGCCACAAACCGGGACUAAAGGGUUGGUUCUCGUUGCGGCCAGUGUUUAGUCCCUUCUCGCCAACCGAAGGGCGCACACACCGGUUUAUAAGCCCGUCCCUCUCUGCCUUGUUGAGCUCCUCUAAAAAAGAAAAUAGAUGCCCUUAUACAGGGAAUUUGACCUAAAUUCAGAGUGAGUUUCUCUGAAAUUCAUAGAAAUUUAUUAUGAAUUUAGGUUGAAUUUUCUCUAUAAGCGCAUCUAUGCUCAUUUUCUUAUGUUGGGGUUGGCGAUCUUUACAGACUUUUUAUGUGUUGAAUAUGCACCAUUCAAAAUCAGUCUCUGCUUUGAAUGGUGCAUUUUAAACACACAAAAAGUCAGGAGUUCAAAUAAGUUUUAAAAAAUGAAAUCCCUUUGUAACAGACGAGUUUCCGUAUGAAAUCCUGAUAAUUUCAAAAAAAUUGUCCAUUUUGUACACGAAGUGCAUCCAGUUUUUGCCGUAGCCCUCUCAACUUUCUUGCACAUGCUAUGUGGAUGAAAUGAUGAUACCAUGCCAACUUUCAACCUUUUAAGAGUUCAUUAUGCUUUUCAAUUUUAGGGUCUUAUAGCUCAAAAUAAUGAGUAAAUGCAUGAAAAAUAACAAAUGAAGUCAGAAAGGAUUGAAAAAUGCUGAUGUGGCUUUGAAUGGUGCAUUUUGAACACACAAAAAGUCAGGAGUUCAAAUAAGUUUUAAAAAAUGAAAUCCCUUUGUAACAGACGNNNNNNNNNNNNNNNNNNNNNNNNNNNNNNNNNNNNNNNNNNNNNNNNNNNNNNNNNNNNNNNNNNNNNNNNNNNNNNNNNNNNNNNNNNNNNNNNNNNNNNNNNNAAUGAAGUCAGAAAGGAUUAAAAAUGCUGAUGUGGCUUUGAAUGGUGCAUUUUGAACACACAAAAAGUCAGGAGUUCAAAUAAGUUUUAAAAAAUGAAAUCCCUUUGUAACAGACGAGUUUCCGUAUGGAAUCCUGAUACUUUGAAAGAGAUUGUACGUUUUGUACACGAAGUGCAUCCAGUUUUUGCCGUAUCCCUCUCAACUCUCUUGCAUAUGCUAUGUGGAUGAAAUGAUGUUACCAUGCCAACUUUCAACAUUUUCAGAGUUCAUUUGAAAUGCUUUUCAAUUUCAGGGUCUUAUAGCUCAAAAUAAUUAGUAAAUGCAUGAAAAAUAACAAAUGGAGUCAGAAAGGAUUNNNNNNNNNNNNNNNNNNNNNNNNNNNNNNNNNNNNNNNNNNNNNNNNNNNNNNNNNNNNNNNNNNNNNNNNNNNNNNNNNNNNNNNNNNNNNNNNNNNNNNNNNNGACGAGUUUCCGUAUGAAAUCCUGAUACUUUGGAAGAGAUUGUCCGUUUUGUACACGAAGUGCAUCCAGUUUUUGCCGUAACCCUCUCAACUUUCUUGCACAUGCUAUGUGGAUGAAAUGAUGAUACCAUGCCAACUUUCAACCUUUUCAGAGUUCAUUUGAAAUGCUUUUCAAUUUUAUGGUCUUAUAGCUCAAAAUAAUUAGUAAAUGCAUUAAAAAUAACAAAUGAAGUCAGAAAGGAUUGAAAAAUGACGAUGUGGCUUUGAAUGGUGCAUUUUGAACACACAAAAAGUCAGGAGUUCAAAUAAGUUCU